This 59605-nucleotide long non-coding RNA is filed under the name Medicago truncatula (barrel medic). Its description in RNAcentral is "long non-coding RNA (MTRU_LNC007737)". Lineage: Eukaryota; Viridiplantae; Streptophyta; Magnoliopsida; Fabales; Fabaceae. The record is from RNAcentral.
UACGACAAUCUUUGUCAUGUACCUAUUAUUCACUAUCACUCCUUGCCUGUGGUUGGCCAAUAAGGCAACUGGGAACCUACAUUCCUUUCCGGUAGGACAGCCAUAAACAAAGCUAAUUGCACAAUGCACAUAAAAAUAAUUAUACUAGUUGAUUACUAUCAAAUGUGAAUGAGUGAUAGAAAAGUUAAGUUUUCUAUUUUUAUAUUAAAAGGUGCCCCUUUUUCAACUUUAUCUAUCUUAAAUUCUGAUUUUUCAACGUCAAUUUGAAAAUCCUGGAGCCACUUUUUUCUGUGCAUGGCACUAUGUGCUUAUUUUAUAAAGCUAGCUAUUGUGUACUUCCAAAUGUUUUAAAAUCUUUUUUUUUGUUAGUGGAAGGAAAUCUAUAGUAAUCAGGUUUUUCUGGAGAGUUUCUUUUUGGUGGAGCUCAUUAAUCGUAAUUUGUUGGUUAAAUGUUUAAAAAUCUUUUAGUAGUGAGUAAUCCUUUGUGAUCGAUGAAAACGAGAUAAUGGCAUUAAUUUUGCAUUCCAACAACGUAUCUUUCAUGGUCAGUUUUGCCAAUAAGAAUGGACAACGAUAUUUAUUCGCCAACCAGAUUACAGUGACACCAGGUUUUGUAUUUUCUAUUGAAAUGGGAUUUGAUUUCUGACAGACAAAAACAAAAUCUCCGUUGUGGUUCCACAUACACAGGGAUAUUGAUGCUGCUUUUUCUAAGGAUUGGAAUUUGGUUCCCUCUUCAAGGGUCCCCUCCCCUCUCCCCCACCUUGCCCAAUCUGCAACUGGUUUAAGUCAUGCGCGACCCAUUAACUGACCUCAUGCAUUAAUUCCCCCAUCAACAUUAAUAGCACAUUGCAUCGCGUAGGAUCGAAACCAUAACCUCCUACAUAAUAUUCCUUUAGUGUCUCGACUUAAACCAAUAAUACUAGUAGCAGGAUCGAAACCUGACGUCCUACAUAAUAGUCCUUCAAUGUCUCGACUCAAACCACUAGGUUACUCUUUCGAGGUGUGUGUAUGUAUUAUCAAAAUAUCAAUAUUUUAGAGAGCCAAUUAAGAUAAUUACAAAGCUUUAUUAAAAAAGACUAAUAUAAAUUGAGUGAUAUAUAGUAUCAAUGAUGAAGCCAGCUCCUUACUGUUUCAUUAUGUUCCUUAAAAUGAUGAAAAGUAUGUGCAGUAUGACUUAUUUUACUCUAGGUGGACCAAGAUCCUGUUUUAUUUUCCCUCUAGAAAUUUGUGAAAUCAAUACUACUAUUCUUGUCAUGAUGUACCAUAAAUUGUGAUUGCAAUUUUAAUUGAUUGAUUAAUAAUUAAGGUUCUUGUUUUUAUGAUUAAUCAGGUGGGAUGAUAGACACUCGGUAGUGGUGCCAGACAGCAACAUUUUCUACAUAAUAGCAUUACUCCGAUUUAUUCCACCACCACCUAAGGGACCACCUACUGAUAAAUUGGUGGCACAAAACAAUGCAAUUAUUCAAUUGUGCUACAACAAGGGAUUUAAUUUCAAGUUAUAUCUUCCUCACUACACGUCUCAGGAGAAUUGGAUGCGACACUUUGGGGAUAGGUGGACUAGAUUUGUCCAGAGAAAACAAAAUUUUGAUCCAAUGGCUAUUCUUGCACCUGGACAAAAAAUAUUUUCAAGAAACCAACUUAAAUAAUAUUAAUUAGAUUAUUAGUUUUAUUAGCUAGAUAGAUUGUUUCUCAAUUAACCUUGUAAUUUUGUUUUGAUAUUUUUUUUUCCUUAUUGAUCUUGUUGUUUCUUUCCCCAACCAAUUACUACAAUGGUUCAUCCAUAUUGUAAAUCAAUAUUUUUGGGGGUAAAUCAAUGUGAAAUCUUAAUCCUUUGCGUAUCCUAUAUAUAAAAUUUCGCAUAUAAGAAAAGAAGUGUUGUAAUUUAUUAUUCAGAAGAAUUUAAGUUCAAAUUAUGAUUUAUUAUAUUUUACUUCAUAAUCGAACUCCAAAUAAUGCGAACCCAUCCUUAAAAAUAUGAGAUUAAAAUAAAAAAAAUCUAAAUCAAACCCACAAGGAGAAAGUGUAUAUAUGAAAACAAUUACUAGUAGAGGUUCCAAGCUCUCUCAUUCGCUUGAAAACAAAAAAAUUGAUCUUGGUGAUGAGAAGAUGUCGAAUCUUUGUUGUUUUGAUCUUCAACAAAUUAUUAUGGAUGAAAUUAAGGGGUCAAGAUUAUGAUGUAUAGAGGUUCGAACUAAUCUUGGUGAUGCAUGACACGUAUAUGGACUAGCUAGUAAUUGGAUAAAGCCAAUUUCAUCCUAUCAAGCAAACUGGCUAGUGCUUGUCAACCAAUCAUUUUCUUUUGGUCUCUUUGGAUUUUAAGUCUUUAUUAGAAUCUAUCUACGUGCCAAUUAGUCAUUUGGACCACGCACUAAAUUUGUAUAUAUGUCUUACAUCUAUUAACAGGCUAUGAUUUCUAUGUUGACUCCAUCGCAAAUAAGAUAAUCGUGCUAAAAAAAAUUUACUGUUGAUAUUUCUUGUUAUGCGGCAAUUAACUACUGGAUGAGGGUAAAAGUGUAAUUUCCCCGUGUUUCAUAACAAAGGCUGAUGUGGGAACAACAAGUUUCCGCAAAUAAUCAUGUUUGAAGUAUUGUUAGACACUACAUAUUGGUAUAUCGUAAUUGUGAGUGUUUUCCGCUCUAUUUUUCUAUUCGAUUAUUGUUGUGAAUUCGGACUCAAAAUCAUACUAAUACAAACUAUGAUGUGUGGAGUAAAGGAAAGUAGUAACCAAUAUCAAAGUGAACACAAGCAACAACAAUAAUAAUAACAACACCUAGAUCUAAUAUAGUAAUCAAAGUGAAAAGCUCAAAACCACAAGCAAAAGAUAAAGAGAGAAGAGAGAAACAAACACACCAAAGAUUGUUGACCAAGUUCGGUCCAACUUGACCUAAUCUGGGGAAGAGAUGGAUCUCUCCAAUCCACUAUCAAUGAGUUCUUACAAAGGGAUACAAAUGGGUUACAAAAAUUUAGCUUAAACAAACUCACAAAGAACAACCCUAAUUUCUACCCAUUUUCCCAAUCUCACAAAUGAACAAGACACUCAAUGAUUUUCACUCACCCAAGGUGUUUACAAUGUUUCCCAACCCAAGAGAACUCUAAUCAAAGACCCUCGACCCUAAAGUUACCUCCUUUGAUUUCCCAAGUUUUCCUCUCUUGAAGUUCUCUCUCCUCCUUCUUCAAAAAUGACAACCUUAUCCACAAAUCGCGCCACGCCCGCACAAAAUCGCGCCAUGAUUUCCUUCAGCAGAAACUAUCCAUUCUGCCAGCAAAAUCGCGCCAUGCCUCUGAAAAUCACGCCACGAUUUUCAGCUUUCACAACAUCACAAUUUGAAGACAAUUUCAACAAUUAUUUCAGACUUUCAUCAUAACAAAUUUCAAAACUCAAAUAAAAGUUAUUGAAUCGUAACAAUUAUCCACAAUCGAGAUUUUCAUGUCGGGUAUAAAAUUUAAACUCAAAUAUGAAUUUAUGACUAAAUUCAAAUAAACUUAAAAGACUUAAUGCAUACAUUUGAUUUGAAUGUAAAAGCCACUAGGGUUUGGAGUUAGGUAUCACGGACUCUUUAUUGCUACUUUUGUACCUUUUUUUUCAUAUAGAAAGAUCAAAUCCACAUCAAUAAAACAAGCUAAAAUCUCAAAGGGAAAGCUAUCACUUUCUCUUUUUUUUCCCUUCCCCCCUUUGAACUGGUUUCCACACAAAUCCUCGGGCUUUGCUAGUUUGACACAAAAAUCAAACAAAAUCUACUUGGCUUCAUGAUUCUCCACUUUCAUAUUGUUUCUUUUGGUAACUUUUGUUUCCUUUCGUCUUGUUCUUUUUCUCACUUCUGUAAUUUACUUUUUACUCAUCGUAUUAAAAGUAGAGAAAAUUAAAGUAGAUAAAGAAUAAUAAUAUUUUGGGGUCCCCUACUUAGCUUUAGAAGGCAAUAAUAAGAUCAUGAUUUCUUGUAAGAAGCACCAACCAAUCACAAAACGUUACGCAAUGAGACUCAUGCAAAAGUAUCAUAUACGUUCAGCAAUGGUAAACGUGUCAUGCACGAACGUGCUUUUUUUACAAUCUGUAUUUUAGGUGUAACAUUGUACGGACGCGUAAGCCAUGCGCGUGUAACUUGUAAGAGUAAUCUUUGUUAUUACAAGGUUUUUGUGUGUCCAAAUCUUAGUUAAAAGUUGCAACUUCUGUUUCUACUUAGGUAGUGUCUGCUCUUUCAAUAUGCUUUGUUUGGUUUAAUGAUUGAAAAACAAAAUGAAAUUUAAGCGAAUCAUUGAAUAGUCAAACACGGUAUGUAUGUAUGUAUGUACACAUUAUUGUGACCUAUUUUAAUAUAUGUUUUUCAUUACAGAUCGAUCAAGAAUUGAACCCUAGACAAACGGCUAAUGACUUUAAUAUAUGGAUUUAUUUUGAAAUCCAAAAUUUUAGUAUUUGCUUAAAAAAAAUCAGAAUUUUUUCCAUAACUUAUUUUGAGGUUUAUUUUUUAUAUGUCAUAUUUUAUUAGUGGUGUGAAAUUAUAUUUGAUGAUUUGACAUUGUUGAUUUGGACUGGAAAUCGGGUUACAUUUGUUGUUUUGUUUAGUUUCAUCGAUCAAAUGUAAACUUAUUUUUGUCAAUGUAAUUUAACAUCAUUAAUGAAUAUGGGACAUCAUAAAAUAAAAAAUAAAAAAAACUUUAAAAUGGGUUGUGCAAAGAUCGUAAAAUUUGGGAAACAGAGGGACUAAAACCCCCAAAUUUAAAAAAUGGAGUACUAAAUUAUUUCAGUUUAUAUUAAAAUAGUGACAAAAAUACAUUAAUUUAAGCCUUAAUAUUAGUAUUAUUUUCCUCACAUUUAAUUUGAGGAAACAACUCCAAAUGACCUCGAAUAGGGUCCUAAGUGAUACAUGCAAUGAUAUACUCAUAAUUUUAUAAGUUUGUUCAACAACCAUAUGAGACAGUUGGGAACAUAGUACACAAACACAUGAUCAUAAAAUAUUGCAUUGAAACGUGUGAGUGUUGCUUUUGUGGUGAAAAUCUUUUACCAAAUAGUUUGUUGACUGUUUUAUUUUAAACUAAAUUAUGGUUCCGUUAAAUAAAACAUAGUUUUGAUGACUUUUAUACGAGUUGAACUUUCAUAUACGUACCCUAUGCAUGCAAUGCAACUUCUUCUCUUAGUAUAUAAGAUUGCUGGAUUGAGUAGUUCUAGGUGAUCUCUUGCAAAAUCAGCCUUCCUUUUUUGAUUUUUUUCUUGUGUCUCCAUGUUGAAGCACGUGAUUAUCUUCUUUUGUUGGAAGAAGAAUAUUAUUAAUAUUUUGUUAAUAAAAAAUAUAUAUAUGAAUUGUUUGAAAAUAUGCUUUUGAGUUAUAAAAUAUACUUCUUUUUCAACCAUGCAUGGAAGACUAUUGGCAAUGGCAUCAAUUCUGAUUUUAUUCAUUUGGUUACAAUCCAUGCAUACUCAAUUUUUGAUAAGAUUGUGUUUGUAUGCCAAAUGAGAUUUAACUUUACGGGACUCUGCUCUAUUCAUGUUCCCCCCAUAAAAGAAUAUUCUACUUUUCAUAACUGAAUAUAAAAAUUACAAAUUAAAGAGCAGGUAUAGUUAAUUUGACUUGAAUAGUAGAUAUUCAUGCUUGUUGAAUGAAAGAAUUGAUUCUUUGGUUUUGUACUAUUGGGAACAUGUGGUUCUUCUGCAAACAACUAUUAAUGGUUAUAGGGAUAGUCCAAACGGUAAAGUAGUUUUUUUGAAACAUGACUUUGGAAAGAAAAUAAUAAUAAUAAUAAAAUAUUUGACUCAACAUUGUCAUAUUUGUGCUUAUUAAGCUGAGUAAGAAUUUUGAAUAGUCCUUUGUUUGUCACAUCGCCUUUUUUGAAACGGAACUUGACAUUGGAGACUAAAAAUAAUGAGAAUAGACUUUUGGAAGUACAAAAUCCAAACAAAAACAUUUAUAGAGAUCAAAAUAAAAUAAAAAACUUUAUAUAAACAUAAACUCAAAUAACUAAAUAAAGUGUUUGAUAUUUGCAGCAAGGGGUGAUAUUGAUGCUUCAAAAAAGAAGGGAUGAUAUUAUUUAAGGAUUAUAAUUAGAAAUAUGGGUUGUGUUAUGAAAUUAAUCAAAAGUGUCACAUCAUAUUAUUAUUGAAUAAUAUAGAAGAAUAUAGUGAAAGGAAUAACGGGAGAAGAAGAGAGUAUAUUGCAUUACUUCAUAAGUGUGUCUUUAUAUUGCAAUAUAGAUUCUAUUUAUAGGACACAAAUAGGUAAAUGAAUAAUCACAUUUCAAUCCACUUACUAGUGGGAGUUACAUGCAUGUGGAAGAUUAAUGGAUGGUCAUCCGCUAAUUUUUAUAUUCAUAACAGAUUGUUUUAAUUUUAUUACCAUUUUUAAGGACUUAUGAUGUGUGUGUAUGAAACAGGUGAAUUUUAUUUAUAAUUAGAAGUAUUAAAAAGUCAUUUUUAUUUAUUAAAUUAUUGAGAGUUAGUUAGAUAUGUUUUUGUUGGUUUUCACAAUUUUUCAAAAAAAAAUUCGGCUUUCGCACCGGUUUCCGACCCAUUAAAGGUGGGCGACUAAUCCGCCUCGUGCGUAGAAGGAGAAUUGAUAAAGGGCAAUAAAGGAAAAUAAUAGGUUGUAAUAAUCAAAAUAUAAAAUUUAUUGGAGAAUUGAUUCUAGAUAACUCAAAAGCUAGAAAUUGUAGCUUCAUUCAUAAUUGCCUUUGGAGAUGAGAAUUGAUUUUGAGAAGCUGAACCAAACAGGUUGAAAUUGCAAGUUUUUACUUUUGAAGCUACAAGAAUUUUUUUUUAGGGUUGUAGAUGCUAAACCAUUUAAAUACAUUUAAAUCUAUUAGAAUAAUUUUGCUACCUAAAAGUAUAUUUAAAUUUGUCCAAUGCAUACCAAUAAAUCUAGUUGUGCCCUUACAUCUGACAAUCACCUUUUCAAUAGUUGUAAGAACAUUUUUUCUUUAACGCUCAUUUUUUAUAACUUUUGUGACAACUUUCUCUCUCAUACUCACAUUAUCUUUUUACUUGAUCUCUCUAUUGUUUUGGUUUUUCUGUCACUACCUCAUUUCCUUUAUAAAAUUUUGGUUGUCAUAAAAGUUGUCACAUAUAUGGAUGUUCAAAUAACAACUCAUUUUUUAUAUAUAACUCAAUUCUAAAAUAUAUGACUCACAUUGAUUUUACAUGAUAAAAGAUAAGUGUUAAAAGUACUAAAAAAAAAAAAAGUGUUCCUAACACUCCCCUCUCACUCUCAUCAAAGCGAAUAUUAUUGAUAAUGAUAUUUUUCACCACAGAUAAGUCUACUUAGGGUUCUUGUGCCAAAAAAAAAAAGUCUGCAUGAUGCUUAAAGCAUACACCGUAGUAAUUUGAGAAUUUUUAAAAAUGUGGGGGUAUACUCAUUAAGUAUGCGUCUACCCUUUAAAAUUCAUAUUUAAGUUACUGUUGAUACAUAACAGAGCCCACUAUAGAGCCCGCUAAUGAUAUUAGAGUGUUUCUUAUAAUUGUUCUUCUGUCGUCUGUUUUUCCUCAUCCCCGUCAAAAUAGCCGAGCGUGAGUUAACUCGCAAGUGUAUUUUCAGUGUGAGUUAACUCAUGUAGGAACUCACGCUGGACAGGAAUGAGCAAAAACAGAUGAGAGAAGAGCAAUUCUCAUGUUUCUUUUCAUAAAUUGUUUAGUAUUUCUUUUAUUAGCCAAUAUCAGAUUCUUGAAACAAAUGAUAUUGGAGUGUUUCUUUUAAUUUUUCUGGUCAACAUGCAGCUUAAUUAUAGUUUGUGUUUCCAGGAAACAAAUGUAAACCAUUUAACGUUCCAUAAGUUUUUCGAGAAUAAUUUUGAAACCGGAAUAUUACUCUCUUUUUCUCUUGGAAAAUUUGAAAAACUAAAAAAAAAAAAAAAAAUGUUAAAAUGAGACAGGGUUUAUAGAUGUUGGCAUAUUUGGAAGUUUUUAAGAAAAAAUGUAGGGGUGAAGAUAUAAAUAUAGAGGUGUGGGAUAGAUUUGUCUGGCUUGCAUUGCAUAUAGCAUGACUACAACCGGAUAUUGGGCUUUGCCCAUAUACAGUAUCGCCAUGCUUCUUUAAAAGUUUACAAUCCACACCCCCUAUUUUAAGUAAAACUCAGCAUUUUGUUUAAACUGCCCGACAAUUUAAAAAACUAUAAAAACCCAGAAGCUUUUUUUAUAUUUCACUUUUUGAAUUUUCAUGAACAUUCUUUUUUAAAUUCUAGUAAAUUUUAUUCAUUAAUACAACAUGUGCGUAUUUUAUUUCUUUCUGAACAUAAAAAGAGAAAAUCAAAGCAAAUAAUUGAUUUCGGUUGAAUCUUUGUGUUCGUCAAGUCAUUGAUAACUCUUCGUCAUGUAUAUGUUUUAAUACCUUUUCAGUCUUUAUUUUUAUGUUACUAUCAUAAGUUUUAGCUAGUUGUAGGCACUAAUUAAAUAGAUUGUUAUUUUUAACCAGACAAUUCUUGUACUUUUAUUUUUGUUCAUUUGUGUAGCUAAGCAGCUUGAUUGUUUAAAGUGGGACACUUCGAUGAAAGUUGCAUGCUCGUUGAUGUGUAAGUUUGUAACCAAUCCGUGGCAAAAACUAAUAUAAAUAUAGGGAACGCUAACAAGUGUCUCCUAGGACCAUUGUAAGAAAUUUAAAAAGAAAAUUUUAUCUUAGGAAUGAUGUAUUCGGUAUAUUGAAAGUUUAAAAGGUAAAUUUAUCUACAUAAAACUUUUUUUUUUUUUUAAGGAAAUCUACAUAAAACUUAUAAAUUACUUCUAUAAUUAUUAACUAGUGCCCUAAGUUAAAAAAGACUUUAAAAAUAUUUCUUUCGUUUUAUAAAAGAUGUCGUCUUUCAUAUAUUUUUUUGUCUUAAAUUAUUACUCCAUUUUUUAAUACAUCUUGCAAUAGCUUGUCGAGAAUAUUUGCUAUUAAAAAAAAAAAAAAAAAAACUUGCUCAUAUCUACCAUAUGUUUUCUCCGCUGUGCUGCUACUCACUUCUACUCACGUGCAUCAUUUGCAACUUCCAAGGUUCGAACAUUGGUGGAUUAACUUGAAGAUUUGGUUCAAGUUUGUUAAAUUGAUUUCCAAAGAAACUAAAAAAUUGUAAAUUAUACAUAAAUGUGCUGUGAAGAAGUUGCAUUUUGAAAAAGUUCAAUAUAAAAAAAGUUGCAUAAUUAAAUUAAAGAAUAUUAACAUUGGUUAUAACAUGUUCAAUAUAUUUGUGAGUAAGACGCAAUUGAUCGUUAUAAGAAUAAAAUCACAAUGACUGAGUUUGAACAUCGAAUCUUCAACUUCUCCACACUUAUAUGAAUCUAUCUAACAACUAAACUUGACAAAAAAAAAACACAUUCAUAUUGUUUGUGGUAUAAGCUUUGUUUUGGAAAAUAAGUGUUGAUCGACCUAACCAUAGUUUUUUUUUUCUCUUAUUUUAUAAACAUGAAAUUAUGGUUUGAAGAUUUCACCGGUGACGGAUGCACCUGUAUGGAAAUUGGGGUAGCUACCCCCGCACCUUAUUUCUUAUCUUUGGUAAUGAUUAAAUAUUUUACUACUAUUCUACUAAAUAUCAUGUGUUGUCUCCCCAAAAAUAUUAAAUAAUUUUAUAUGUAAAUAAUUAAAAGCAAAAUUAUAUGAAAGAUGAAAUGUUAAUCAUUGUUUAAUCACAUAAAUAGAGAGAUCCUUUUUAUAGUAUGAAAAAUAAAAACUAUACAACAAUUAUAAAAUAUAAAGGCACAUAAAUUUUUUUUUCCUUCGGAAAGAUACAUAAAUGUUGAAGCUUCUUUAAUUUCACGUAUAAUGAUAUAGUUGUAAUCUCCAAUUUUUCAACAAUAAUUUUUUUUAAGAAGCCAAAAUAAAUUUAGAUUAAGCACCGAGAGUAAUUCAUCUCGCACAAGGUGUGCAGAGAGAGUCACUCCUCACAAAAUACAAGAUCAGGUAUCUGUUACUACACAAAACAUAAUGAAAAAAAGACAAGAAGACUACUCCCUAACACCCAUACAAAUUAAAGGGUGUCGCCACCAGUCAUUAUAACUGAAAGCUGAAGUGAGCUUAUUCGCCCUUAACCAAGAAAAAGAUACAAACUUUACUUCGUCUAAUAAUUGAACCAAGUCUAGUGCUUUGUUUUUUAAAAUCCUAUUGUUUCUUUCCUUCCAAACUGUUCAAACGCAAGCAUGCCAGAUCACUCUGAAGAAAGAAUGCUUAAAUUGUGGUAACCCCCCAUGUGACCAAACUGAAUAAGAUGCUCACGAACAGAGUCAGGAGAAAUGAAUUCUAAACAACAACUAUAUGAAGCUUGUACUUUUAUAAAUUUCAUAGUUGAUAUCCUAGCAUAACAUUUAUUCCAAAUUACAAUAUGGAUAUACUGUACAUCAAUAUGAAAGUCAACAUCAUUGUAACUCAUUUACAAUGUUUCUUUCAUCUGUGUUCAGGAAACAAUCCAUAGUCAUUUAAGACAUCCAAGAUAUUCUUGAAGGUAUUCUAGUGUCGAACACUAUAAUCAAUUUUGGUACAUAUUGAAAAUAAUUUUCUAACCAUGUCUUACAUGUGUAGAUAAAUUAUUUUGGUGACUAGUAUGUCAUCCACAUACUCCACCAAACUAAUUUCAAUGCUCCCACUAAUCUCCUUAUGUGCACAAGAUUUCUUUAUUAAUAAAAGUUUUCAUAAAACUUCAUUUAAUAAAAUAAAAAAAUUCAACUUCGAGAAGUUUUCUCUAAUUCGUAAAUGAAUUUAUAAUACAUCUUCCUUUCUAGUAUCCUUUGGAUUAACGAAAUCUUACAUAUAUCAAAUACAUAUAUAAGGUUAUUCCAAUUAAGGAAUACAACCUCGUUAUCCAUCUUCUAGAACAUGUAUUAUACAACAAUGGGAAUUGGGAUCGUUAGAUUUAAGCAUUACGAUGAUGGAAUGGUUUCGUCAUGAUAUGCAUCAUGAAUUGCAUGAAACCUUCUACAAUCAAUCACAUCUUAAAGGUACCAUCCAUGUCAGUUUUCUAUAAGAAAGCUCACAUUCAUCUUAUGAGUCAUACUCAUUUGGAUGAUAUAACCAAUAUCCAUAUAUGGUUUGUGUACAUGGAUUCUUUAUAAGAUCCCAUGGCAUCUAGCCGCUUCUAAAAAAUCAGGCCAUUUGCGACCUUCUAGUAAGUCAGGUGCUCAUCUUCCAUGAGCAUCAUAUCACCUUGUUGAGUCAUGACAAAAUCAUAUUUCUCAUCCUAGUGUUAUGACAUAUCAGACUCAUCUAGAUCAUGUGCUACUCGAACUACCGAUUUACCAACAAUCCUUUGUUGAAUCAGUUCAUGUUCCAUUCUUAGAGAAACAUGUAAUUACCCUUUCGCCCUCAUGACUAUAUUGAACACAAGGCAUAGACCGUGUCAUCCUUGUCUAGUUCAAUAUUGGGCUCGUAGACAUUUCUCCUGUUAUGUUGGAGGGGAAAAUUUCAUCUAGGUCACUCAUGUCCCUCAGCAUGAUUCAUGGAGUACCGGUCAACCAACUUUAUAGUCAUCCUGUUACGGACAACGCUUGAAUGGUGACAAAGCGCUCAACUCCAACAUCUAGGGUACAUAGUGGUUUCGGGUCGAAUGGUGGAAUACACCACUAUCACUGUGAGAAUAUCUUAUGACACUUUUCAUAACCUUUACUAUGUAGUAUUCUCAUUGCGGGUCAAUCCAAUAUAAAUAUUACUCCUAAUAUUUAUACCUAUGUGAAGACUUUAUAACUCUUUAUCCAUGAUUUGUGAGAUGUGAUCAUCAGUCUACCCACGUAAUAGUCUCCAUGCUUUAAUAAUAUCCCACUUCACAAUAAAGUUUGACUACAAAUAUUUUAAGAAUAAUGUCCUUAUGUUUAAUGGGGUCUCACAAUUAAGUUAUACUUAAUGUUCCAUUAAACGGGCUAACUAUUCUAGGGACUUUGUUAUUUUGAAACAAAACAAAAUAAACAAAGAAAUGCCUUGUUAUUAUAUAUUCACAAUAUAUAUAUUUAUAUCAAUAUCAUGAUACAAAGUCAAACCCAAUCAAGAUGGAUUGGCUAUUAGGGCCUACUCCAACAACAUCAUCCUCCACCACACCGAACUAUUCCCCCUUUCUUCAACCGCCCUCCCACCUCCCCGUACCUAGCCUUUAAGACUCGAUACCAUAACCCCUCCUUAUCCACUAACAUACGCCAACACCACUUGUCAUGGUAAGGAAGAAGGGGAAACAAGCACACUUGGAGAGAGCAGUACAAUGGAUAGUUGUAUGUUGCGUUCGGGAAGGAUGAAUCGCUCCCGAAUAGGAAUUUAUUGAUUCUCUUCCAAUUGGAUGGACCGUAGGUGCGAUGAUUUACUUUACGAGCGAGGUCUCUGGUUCAAGUCCAGGAUGGCCCAGCUGUGCCAAGGAAAAGAAUAAAAGACUGAUUUGACUCCAUCAUGCGUGCUCCAACUUGACUCGGGGGGAUAUAACUUAGUUGGUAGAGCUCCGCUCUUGCAAUUGGGUCGUUGCGAUUACAGGUUGGAUGUCUAACUGUCCAGGUGGUAAUGAUAGUAUCUUGUACCUGAACCGGUGGCUCACUUUUUUUAAGUAAUGGAAAAGAGGACCGAAACAUGCCACCGAAAGACUCUACUAAGACAAAGAUGGCUAUUUUAUGACUUAUGCAUUGUUAUAUUUUUCAACAAAUAUUUGUGAUAUCUAAUCUUGCUCCCCCCACGAGUAAAAAUUUAUGGAUCCAUCACAGGUCAAUUCACAGUGUAAAAAUCCAGGAACAUUAUUAUGCUCAUCACAUGUCAUCUUUAGAGCAUUUUCAAUAAUGCGACAUUUACUUAACAAAGACCUAUUAAAUAUCAUAUUAGAGGAAGAAAAAAAUGAGUACUUAAUUACUGACAACUAUAUAAGAAUUCUUUUAAUCUUCGACAAUUACAUGUCCCACGAUUAAAAAGUGGAAAGGAGAUAGAUCAAAAUUGGUCUCAAUAUUUCAGAUUCGUGUGAUUCUUACUCUUUUCGAUUUAUUUUCUAAAUGCAAAUUUUAAAUUACAUAUUAAUAAAUCUAUUUAAGAAGUCUUUUUAAUUUUCUAUCAUUCAAGUCAUUGAAACUUUAUUAAAUAUUUUUAUUAAAAAGUUAUAAAUAAAUAUACGAGACUUAUUUAAAAACUCAUUUUAGUUUUACAUUGUGAAUAACUUGGGCAUAAUGCACAAGAGUCUCCCCUCUCAUCGUACAUGGCAAUUAAUUCCACACACACAAUUAAAUUUUAUAAAGAAAAUUCAAUGUCUUUGUAUAGUGGGGAUUUAAGUGGGACAUGAUGUUGGAUGUUUGUACUCAAAUUUAUUUCUCAGUCCAACACAAAGUAAGCACACGUGGGAAAGAGAAAUGCAAGUUGUAGAAGUUGUUGCCACCACUUUAACUUAGCAAAAUCUAAUGUCACAGUACUGUCACUUGUGUUCGCCUGUGAAUGAAAGAAGGAAACACACAUAAUCUAAGUGCCAUACUAGUACGAGUAAAAAUCUUAUGAUGAUGACUUCUUCUAAGUAAUUGAUUAUAUAAAAAUGAGAGGAGUUAUAUUCACACUUUCUUUUUAACACAUAUUCCAAUCAUUUAUUUGAUGGAAUUCAAAUGAAACUCAUACUUUGCAAAUAUAUCUUACAUAAAAUGGUGAAGUAUUAUUGUCUACACCUAAUAAAAAAGUGAAUAUUAAAGAGAAUAUAUAAAAAAAAAGGUUAAUUAAGUUUUUGGUCCUUAUAAAUAUCUGCAGUUUUGUUUUUAGUCCAUAUAAAAAUAAAUCACACUUUUUAGUUUCUACAAAAAAUUUUGCUAGUGCUUUUAGUCCCUAUAAAAUUUUCUUUCAACAUUUUUAGUCCCUAUCAAAAAUUUGCAUCAACAUUUUUGGUCCUUAAAAUGCUUGAGGAAAAUGUCACAAGAACUAAAAAGUUUGAUUUUAUUUUGUAGGGAUUAAAAACAAAACUAUGAAUAUUUAUAGAGAUUAAACAAUUGAUUAUAUAAAAUUGAGAAGAGUUAUGUUCACACUUUCUUUUUAAUACAUUUUCUAACACUCGUUUAUUCAUUUGAUGAAAUUCAAAUGAAUCUCAUAUAAAAUGAUGAGAUUUAUACCAAAUAAAAAAUAUUAAUGUUAAAUAAAAUAUUAAAAAAAUAGUAUUUCUAACAUUUCUCUAGAAAUUUGCCAAAAAAAAUUGUCUAUGAUAAACAUGAUUGUACAAACCGUCCAAUACUCUUGAUAUUAAUCUUUCAAAAUUUAACCUAGAAAACUAAAAUCUAUAAUUUAUCAAAACAACAUAAAUUACAAAAUUGUAAGUGAUUAUUUAAAAAGUAAUAAAUUUUGAUUGAGUGAAAAAGAAAAAUAUUGUAAAUUAAACGGUUUAUAUAACAUUUAAGGUGCUGAAAAAAUGUUACCCCAAAGUUUUUCCCUAUAUACAUGCGCGUGUAGGUAUUUAAAAUAAAAAAAUUGAUCGAAUAAAAAAUAGCAAAAUUGUAAAUUAACUUGAGCUGAAUUGUCAAAAUUAAAUAUAACAAUGAAACAAAAAAAAAACUACCAAUAAACUAAACAAUAGACUCAAAUGGUUAAUGAGCUCGACAAAAAACGUUUUGUUUAGAAGAACUGAGUUUAACUUAUAGGUGAAACAAUUCUUAGUUAGACUUUAUUUACCUCCUGACCGAAUUUCAAAUUAUCAAGCUAUCUUUCCCAAAGAACCGAGAGUUAACCAAAAAAAAAAAAAAAAAAACUACCAAUACAUGGUAUCUUUUAUAUAUAGGUAUAGAUCAAAUAUUAAUAUUGGGGAUAGGUAACUCACUUGAUGAGUUAAGAGAAUAAAGGAGUUAAUGAGUUAAAAGUUUAGGAUUUAAAUAAAUACUAUGAGUUUGAUUUUUCAAAUAAAUCAUCUAAUACAGAACGAAGGGAGUAUGAUUUUUGCCUCAUAAAAUAGGUAUGUUUAUAUCCUAGAACCUCGGACAAUUCAUUAAAUUCGAGUUAUAAGCAAAUAACUUAGAAAUUCUAAGAGUUUGUAACAAUUAUUUUUUACUGCCGAGAGCGCACGGUCGUGCUUGCCUUCAAAAAUGUUGAAAUUCUGCAAACUGGGAAGGGCCCACAACCGUGCUAGAUAGUCGCACGGACCGUGCUCAACUUUUGACAAUUUUGUCUGAUUUUUCUUCAAACAAAGCGCACGGUCAAUUACCCUUUUCGAGAUUUGAAAAUUCUUCAUUAUCUUCAUUAUUUUUAUUCUGAAAAUGAAAACUAAUGAUUUGUAGUAAAUUAGCUCUAAAGUAAGACCAGAGUUCCAUAAAUAUUAUUGAAUUCAAAUGCUAAAAACACCAUAAACUAUAACUUACCAUGACGAUUUAUUCAAGAUGCUGAAAAAAAAAAUCAGGGUUUUGUGGGUUGGGUUUGAUUUAAUUUUGCUUUUUGUGUGUGUGUUGGUGUUGUUGUUUCUAUUGUUUUUUUUUUUUCUUCUGAGGGGUUUGAGUUUAUAUCUGUUUUAAUAUCAAAGAAGAAGAAAAUUAAGAAUUAGGGUGGGCGUGGUGGAUCUUAAAAGAUGAAGAUUAUGUUGAUAGAUUCAUGAUUUUUAACUUUGAAACGUUUAAUAAGCAUGGGUCGCGUGUCCAAGUUCUAAACUCCCAGUUUUUUCAUUUUUUUUCUUCCGUUUGUAUUGAAUAUCUUGGAUUAAAAAUCGAAAUAUAUGGAUAAUGGAACUUGAAUCACACACAUUAAGCUCAAAAUACAUGCUGUAAACCAACUGAUCAAAUAAACAAUCUUUCCAAUUUUCAUAAUUAGGAUGUUAAUAAUAUAGAAAGCUUAAUCUACUAGAUGACCUACUUUUUAUGUGUUAUUGAUAUUAUUUAUAUUUAUAAUUUAAAUAAACGACGACUCUUAUCAAUAUUUUGUAUUUUUUUAAUACUCUAAUAUUACUGGGACGUUCAUGGGUUUGAUACGAUCAUGUGAAUUUUAACAAAAAUAAAGUAAAAUUAAAGAGUGUGUUAAAAGUGCAUGGUAGACACAAAUAAUGUCAUCACUUCUUAUUGUUUAGACUCACAUUUAACUAUCAAGAAGUGAAGAAUUCGAGUCCAUACACAUCAUAGUUAAUAUAUAUCAACGUAUUUAUCAGGUGUGUUCGCAAUGCAUAUUAGUUCAAUUUUGAGGAUAAAAGUCAUCAUAACAGCAGGAUAAAAAACAUGUGUGAUUUAGUUUGGUUCAAUUGACUUUUAAAAUAGAAACCGAAUCAAAAAAUGCAGUUCAAUUGAUUAGGUUGUUAUGGUUAUUUAUGAUGCAUUACAAUUUUUUUGUUUUCAACAUGAAGUCAAGUUAAAAACAACUUAUUUUCAACAAUGUUUCAAAUUUUAACAAUAUUGUAUUAAAUAGACCAAAAAACAUGCACAAAAAAACAAUCACGAUAAGAAGUGCAAAAUACUAAAAUUUUAUCAUUAUUCACACGUUUUCAUCGAGUUUUCUAUGAAAAAUGGUUCGGAUACAUCCGAUCCAAAUUCAAUUUUAAACAUGUACUCUCUCCGUCCCAAAUUGUAAGGAAAAAAAAAAAAUCAAAUCACACUUAUUAAGAAAACUAAAAGGAGCACAUUAUUCUGGCAUGACAUUUGGGUGGGGGAAGUUCCUUUAAAAUUUAAAUUUCCCCGCAUUUUUGACUUAUCAGUUCAUAAGGAGUGUCCGGUGGAGAUGAUGAGGAGGUUGUUAGGGGCGGUUGAUGGGAGGGAGAGGGUGUGGCGACGACGUUUGUUGGCGCGGGAGGAGGAGAGUGUGAGGGAGUGUUCUGUGUUACUUUUGAACAUUGUUUUGCAGGAUACUGUAGAGGAUACUUGGAGGUGACUUUUAGAUCCUAUUCAUGGAUAUUCGGUGCGGGGGGCUUAUUGCUUUCUCACAACUUCAGGUGAGUCGGCGGAUAGGUAUCAAGUUAUCGACGUUUGGCAUAAACAUAUCCCCUCUGAGGUGUUUGUGUUUGUUUGGCGCCUUCUUCGCAACAGACUUUCAACUAAGGAUAAUCUGGCGCAGCUGAGUAUUCUUUCUCACACAUAUGUGGCGUGCGUGUCUGGUUGCGGGAGUCGUGAAACAACAACACAUCUUUUUUGUUCUCAUGUUUGGCUUUGGUUGGGUAUCUCUUCGGUUUCAUUUGGUGAUCUUCAUCAACAUUUUAUUCAUUUCAUUAAUAUGGCGAGUCUGCCUAGAUCCACACAUAUGUUUUUCAAAAUCAUUUAGUUUACCUCUGUUUGGGUUAUUUGGAAGGAAAUGAAUGAUCGUGCGUUCAACAAUAAGGCAUAUACUUUCUCCAUUCUCAUUGAAAAGGUUAAACAAACAUCUUUUUUGUGGCUGAAAUCGAAACAUGCAAUAUUUACUUACAACUAUCAUGACUGGUGGAAUCAACCGCUCCUCUGUAUGGGUGUCCACUUGUAAUCUUUUUUAUUUGCUUUGUUGUUUUGGCGAUGCUAUGCUCUAAAUAACACCUUUUAUUGUACAUACUCUUUCGUGGUUCCCCUUUGCACGCCUUGUGCGGGGUAAAUCACCGUUGUUAAUAUAUAUCUUUUUUGUUUGUUCAAAAAAAGAAAACUAAAACAUAAUAAUUUGAAGUAUAAUUUUUUAUGUUUUCUUUAGAAUAAGUUUUAUUGAAAGAUGUAAAAACAAUUUUCAUUGGCUAUUGAUUAUGAAAAAAAUGAAAGGAGAAAAAUUAAAUAUAAUUUGCAUUUAAUUUUAUAAGAAUAAAAAAAAAAAUUCUUAAAAAAGAUGAUAAUUUUUAAAAAACAAGAUUAAAUAGGAUAAUUAAUUUUUUUCUUACAUCUUGGACGGAGGACAAUACUUACACUACAUCGUAAAUCUAGGAUGUCUAAACUAAAAGAGUUGAGUGUACUAAAAUGAUAAAAACGAUGUCGUUGAAAUGGUCAUUCCUCUUCUAACAAAAAAGUAGGAAGUAAAUUUCAGAUAUCUUCUCUAAAACCAAACACAAACCAACAUCUCUUCAACACACAAACCAUCUUCAUCCAAGAUCCGAUCAGAUCCAUCCAUUUCCACCUUCCAUUUCCUCUCACUUUAUCUCUCUACCCCCUUUCUCUCUCCAAUUCAACUUUCAAUUUUACAUUUCCACACAUCUUCGAAAAUUAGGGUUUCAUCGAAAAAUGCGACGGAUCGUCACUCACGCAUGAAUCUCUGGUGCUGUUUAUGGUUCAAUCGAGAAGAAGAAGACAAAGAAGCUGUAAUUCACGACGAAAGGUGUCAACUUGUUGAACCUGGUAUGAACAACAACGACGACGAAGAUAUUUUCGGAAACGUUAAUUCUGAUGAAGAUGAAGAAAUUGAAGCUGGGAAUUAUGAGGCCAAUUUUCGGAGAGAGUUUUUGAUUGAUGGGUUUGAUUCGUGGCCUGCUGUACGGCGCUCGAUCGGAGAAAGUAGCUCUGUUAGCGCCGCUGUAAUCCCGAAUUCCGGUCCGGAAAGUCCUGUUGCUGAUGAGAACCGUGAUUCGUCUCAUAAGCGUGCUAAGUUCUACAAGUGAGUGUAAUUUUUUAAUAAAAAUGCAUUUUUUUAUUUGGGUAUGGGUAUUUGUAUUGUUAUGAAAAAUGUUGAAUUGUUGUGAAAUGAAUUGAAAAGUGUUUAAUUUUAGUGUAUUGUAAUGACGUUUGAUGAAUUUGAUUGUGAUGAUUAAUGUUUUUAUUUUUUGUACGAAUUCUCUUUUUUUUUAUAUGACAAAAAUUCACUGUGUAAAUUAUUUAUGAUGGAGCAUUAUGACAUUGUUUGAUCCAUAGCCGACACCACUUAUUGGGAUAAGGCUUGGUUGUUUGGUGUUGUUGUGAAUUGUGUAUGUGCAUUGUUACGAGAGAAGGUUGUUUUGUUGAGAAAUGAAGUGAAAAGUGGCUAAUUUUACUGAGUUUGACUGCGACGAUUGAUUAAAUAAAACUUGUCUUGUGAACUAUGAUGUUGAUGUUUGAUUGUGAUGAUUUAUGUUUUUUUUGAGUGAUUUUUUUUAUAUAACAAAAAUUCAUUUUUUGUGUGAACUAUGAUAGAGCAUUAUUAUUUGACGUCGAAUGUUCCACAUAGCCCACACCACCUAGUGGGACAAGGCUUGAUUGUUGUUGAUAUUAAUUGUGUACGUGCUUUGGUAUGAGAAAAGGUUGUUUUGUUGAGAACUGAAGUGAAAAGUGGUCAAUUUUACGAGUUUGAUUUUGACAAUUGAUUAAGUAAAACUUGUUUUGUGAACUAUGAUGAUGAUGUUUGAUGAGUUUGAUUGUGAUGAUUUAUGUUUUUUUUAGUGAAUUUUUUUAUUUUUUUAUUUAUAACAAAAAUGCAUUUUUUGUGUAAAUUAUGAUAGAGCAUUUUGAUCUAUGACUCCGUUUGAUCCGUGUAGCCGACACCACUUAGUGGGAUUAGGCGUGAUUGAUGUUGUUGUGAAUUUUGUAUGUGCUUUGUUGUGAAAAAAUAUUGUUUUGUUGAGAAAUGAAGUGAAAAGUGGCUAAUUUUUCUGAGUUUGAUUGUGACGACUGAUUAAGAAAAACUUUUUUGUGAACCAUGAAGAUGAUGAUGUUUGACGAGUUUGAUUGCGUUUUUUGCAGUGAGUGUAACUUUGAUGAUCUGGCGUCUACGAGCAAAGUGAACUACUCUAUGGAUUAUGCAGAUUUUGACAGUUCUAUUCAGCCUAGUAAUAAUAGUUGUUAUGGCGAUUUUGCGUUGGUGUGUAGUGGUGAGGAUGGUAACGGUGUAGAAGACGGUGGAGGGAAUGAUGAUGACAAUUCAGAACUUGCAGAUCAAGAGAUUGUUAGGAUGGACCUUACAGAUGAUCUAUUGCAUAUGGUAAGAGACGGUGAAAGAACCGUUUUUUAUAUGGGUAUCAUUUAUGUGCAUCUUAAAUCAUUUUUGUGUGCUAUGAUAUUUGGGUUUGAUAACAAAAGUUUCACUUUCUUUAUUUGUGAAAUUUAGGUCUUCUCAUUUCUGGAUCAGAACAAUCUCUGCAGAGCUGCCAGAGUUUGUAAGCAGUGGCGGGCUGCCAGUACACAUGAAGAUUUUUGGAAGAGUUUGAAUUUUGAAAAUCGGGACAUAUCUGAAGAACAAUGUGAGCUUGAGUAUAUGUUGUUUUAUUUAUGAAUGUUUUUAGUUUUAUGUUUUUUCAGCAAACCUUUUAACAUUCAAGUUUUGGGUAUUGGAAACUGUGGAUUGUUAUUAGUAGAACUUCUGCUUUUGUAAAACUGUAAACCUUAAAAAGCAAAUGUACUUAUUCAAAGUUCAAUGUGUAAUUACAGUUGAGGACAUGUGUAGGCGUUAUCCGAAUGCUACAGCAUUGAGCAUAUCAGGACCUUCUAUUUAUUUGCUGGUCAUGAAGGCAAUCUCUUUGUUUAGGUAGGUAUUUUGUGCGACUUCGCAUUGAAUCAAGCCAUCUUAGACUCCAGCUUAUUUGUUUCAUUCUUUUCAGGAAUCUUGAGGUUUUAACAUUGGGAAGAGGACAGAUAGGGGAUGCAUUUUUUCUUGCUCUACCUGAUUGUACUAUGUUGAGAGAAUUGCAUAUCAAUGAUUCGACACUUGGAAAUAGUAUUCAAGAGAUAUCUAUCGUCCAUGAGAGACUGUGUCAUCUUGAAUUAACAAAAUGUCGUGUCAUGCGAAUACAAGUCAGGUGAAUAUGCCUCAAACUUCGACCGACACUUAGUUGUCACUUUAUUGAUACGAUAAAAAGUGAUGGUUUAUUCUUUUUUCAGGUGCCCGCAACUUAAAACCAUGUCAUUGAAGCGCAGUAACAUGGCACAAGUUGUGCUUAAUUGCCCUCUUCUGCUUGAACUUGAUAUGGGUUCUUGCCACAAACUUCCUGAUGCUGCUAUUCGUGCUGCUGCAACUUCAUGCCCUCAACUAGUGAAACUGGACAUGCGUAAUUGUUCUUGUGUCAGCGAUGAAACACUGCGUGAAAUAGCACAACAUUGUCCUAAUCUUGGUUUUCUUGAUGCAUCAUACUGCCCAAACAUAUCUUUGGAGGUGUGCUUUAAACUGUAUACUUAUUUUUUGCAUAUUUAAGAUUGUAUUUUGAACAAGAGUUUCUAGCUUUGUCUGACACGGUCACCUUUCUUUUUUAAGUCUGUUCGACUCCCAAUGUUGACCAUUCUAAGACUUCAUAGCUGUGAGGGCAUCACUUCUGCGUCAAUGGCUGCAAUAGCUCACAGUUCUAUGUUGGAGGUAUGUUAUUUGUUCCAGAUAUUGAUAUUAACGACUUGUCUGAAUUCCCGAGUAUUAGGACGAGUACAUGACAUAACUGCCAAUGCAGGUUUUGGAGCUUGACAAUUGCAGUCUAUUGACUUCGGUGUCGUUGGAUCUUCCACGUUUGCAGAAUAUUAGAUUGGUGUACUGUCGCAAGUAUGUUUCUGCUUCAUUUUCUCUCUCCCCAGAAAAGACAAAAUUCCAUUAUUGAUAUUUGUCUUACUCUGUUGCUUGUGUACUUAAUGUUUAAGAAAAUAUCCAAUCCUUAGUUUAUCUGAUUAAUUUUUUGAAUGGUUUCCUUGGCAGAUUAGCAGAUUUGAAUUUGAGAGCUAUAUCGCUUUCUUCUAUACAAGUGUCUAACUGCUCUGUACUCCACCGGAUCAAUAUCACUUCAAAUUCACUUCAAGUAUGUCGUGUAAUAAUGUCUUUUUAACUCCACAUUCUCAUAUUGCAUAGUAUAGCCCUCAAUGAUGACCUUUGUGGUUAUGCAGAAAUUAGCACUGCAAAAGCAGGAUAGCUUAACUACAUUAGCGCUGCAAUGCCAAUCUUUACAAGAAGUGGACCUCUCUGAGUGUGAAUCAUUGACAAACACUGUAUGUGAUGUUUUUAGUGACGGUGGAGGAUGUCCCAUGUUGAAAUCACUAGUUCUUGAUAAUUGUGAGGUACAUGAAUAUAUAUAUAUAUAUAUAUAUAUAUAUAUAUAUAUAUUAUUUUUGCAUUUCUUGGAUUCACUUUCUAAAAUUUCAUUAUUCAUGAGCUAUUUUAGUACUAUAUUUUGACAAUUCAAAUGGGUGUUUAAUGUUUUCCCACUCUUGAUCCUUUCUACACAAUUCUAAUUGUAUUUAUAAACGACAUCAUCAACUAAUCUAGUUGUGCCACACUGCCAUAACUUACUGAUUGAAAUUUUGCCCAUGGUUUCUAUAAUACCAAAGUACUUUUUUAUGUUAUAUUGUUAAUUUCUCACUUGAAGUUUCUGAAAAUGGUAUUUUUGGUAUUCUGACAGAAGUCGCAAUAGCAGUCUAAAGAAUUGUUGAAAUUCAUCAAUCAUUUAGUUAUUACAAUAUCAGUAUUUGAAUGAAUCAAUUUAAUACUAUUUACUUCAUAAAAAAUGUUUCAGCAGUGGGAAAUAAUUGGGAUUACGUCUUAACUUUCCUGGUUGUUGUAUAUAUGACAGAUUGGGUUUCUUUAAAUUCCUGGUAUUUUGUCGGUGAAAUGUUCUAUAUUCGUAUUAAUGGUAACAUUUUUUAUUUUAUUUUAUUUUAUCAUAUUUGGUGUUUGCUGCAUGUAGAGCUUGACUUCAGUUCGGUUCAUCAGCACCUCGUUAGUCAGUCUCUCCCUUGGUGGUUGCCGAGCAGUUACUACUCUUGAGCUAACAUGCCCUUAUCUUGAGAAGGUCAUAUUGGAUGGUUGUGAUCAUUUGGAAAAUGCAUCAUUUUGCCCUGUAAGUGAUACUGAUAUAUUAGAUGCUUCACAGUUCGAUUUUUAUGAGAGGAAAUCUUUUAUUUCCUCCCUAUUGAGUGCUUCAAUUAUUAUGAGCCGAAUUUUUUUUCUUCUUUCCUUUUGAGUUGAUCAUGUGAUGAAAUAUGCGAGAAAUUAAAACUACAGAAUAAUAGGUUAACAUCGUUUGCUUGUAUUUAUUUAGCUAUCUGCAUGGUUUAAGUAAUAGCUUCAUACAUUUCAUUCCUAGAGGUUGUUGUAUUAGGGCUUUGUAAUUUGGGACCACGGUUAUUAUCAGCGUGUUAAGACACAUUGGAUUCAUUUCAAUAAAACUUAACCCAAUAGAUAGAAAUCGUUGUUCAUAUCUAAUUUUGACCGUGAAGCUUAACACAAAUCUCGAUUCAUUGUGGCGAGUCCCAACUUGCCCACUGAAAUGUGAAACCAACUGCUUUUUACUGGCUGUGUGUAACCAACCACUUUCUUAGUAAAGAUUUGAUAAGAUCCGUAAUAUAGGAUUCAUGAUUUGAAUCUCAAUCUGAUAGCUAAGCAACUUCCGUUUUUCAUCUACUUCUCAGGUUGGUCUUCGAUCUCUCAAUUUAGGAAUAUGCCCAAAAUUAAACAUACUUCGCAUUGAAGCGAUGUUAAUGGUCUCACUUGAGUUGAAAGGAUGUGGUGGACUGUCUGAAGCAUCCCUUAAUUGUCCUCUCUUGACAUCACUGGAUGCUUCCUUUUGCAGGUGACGCUUUAUCUGCUAGUUUCUUGGUUAUCCUGCUUAUGUAUGGAGUAUGUACUGAUUGUUGUUUUGAAUUACAGCCAACUCACUGAUGACUGCUUGUCUGCAACAACCCGUGCCUGUCCACUGAUUGAGUCAUUAAUAUUAAUGUCCUGCCCAUCGAUUGGGUUAGAUGGACUCUGUUCCCUGCAUUGGCUCCCAAAUUUAGCUCUGCUUGAUUUAUCAUACACUUUCCUGGUGACUCUGCAGCCUGUUUUUGAUUCUUGUAAACAACUAAAGGUAAAAAACAUUAUAUUUUAGUUUACAUAUUUUUUACUGUCUUGCAAAUUACAAAUAGUAUAAUAGUAGUGAAGAACCGCUCCUCCCAUCCUCAAAACAAAUCUACGGAAGUGAGGGUUAUUUAGUUAAAAAACCUAGCAAAGUUAUGAUAUUACCAUACACGUACGAGUUUUGUGUCAAUCUUGUGAUUUAAAUACUUGUACAAGUGUUUGGAUACAGAUGGGAAUAAUGUGAGAUGUCCAUUAGUUGUUUUUAACAUAAUAAAGCUCAAAUGCUUGGUGAAUAAGAGCUUAAAUAAAAUGUCUAUCCAAGUGUACUCAUAGCCCUUUACUUUCUCCCCUCUAAUCUUUGUGAACAUGAAUUUGUUUAUUUUCCCCUUUAUUUGGAUUUUAUUAAAACAUAACGUGGUAAUAAUGUUAAUUGGUUCACUUUUGAAUGUACUGAUGAUAAUUUGUUGCUGAUGAAAUAGAUGGAUGGACAUGUCCAUACAUCUGUUAGAAGUCUUAAUUAAUUGUAAUUUUUUUAUUUUAUGUUUUUGGAGUGCAAAAAAACAAUUUAUUUUAUUUUUCAUCGGAGCUCAAAUAUUUUACGUCUUCCUGAAACAAUGAAGACACGUCUUCCUGAAACAAUGAAGACACAAAUUAACAGAGAAAUGGAGAUAGAAGGGGAUGGAAAAGAGUGAGAGGAAAAGUGGGUAAAACGAAGAUUAUUUUGUUUAAAGAAAUAGAAUGUUGUUACACACUUGCUUACUCAUUUCUUGGUCCACAGAUUAUGGAAUGAUGUAUGUUUGUAUCAUUAUUCUCUAUUCUUUAUCUGACGGUAACAUUUUUGUUUCUUGAAGGUACUAAAGUUGCAGGCAUGCAAAUAUCUCACCGACUCAUCACUUGAACCUCUUUACAAGGGGGGUGCUUUACCAGCUCUUCAGGAGUUGGAUUUGUCUUAUGGAACUUUGUGUCAGAAAGCCAUAGAAGAGCUUCUUUCUUGUUGCACUCACCUUACACGUGUGAGUUUAAACGGAUGUGUGAAUAUGCAUGAUUUAAACUGGGGGCACAGUCAAGGGAAGUUUCCUGAGUUACCUGGCAUAAGCAUCCUAUCCAUCGCAAGUUCCUACGAAAACAAUCAUGUGUCAAGUGAGCAACCCAUCCGAUUACUUCAGAACCUCAACUGUGUGGGUUGUCCAAAUAUUAGGAAGGUUUUCAUUCCAUCAACAGCACACUGUUCCCAUUUAUUAUUUUUAAACCUUUCACUGUCGGCUAAUUUGAAGGAAGUUGAUGUAGCUUGUCUCAAUCUAUGCUGGCUUAAUCUAAGGUAUUGUUCGCCCCUCAAAAGAAUGUGGAUUGGUUUCUGACCUCGAAACAAAUUAUAAUGUUUUGACUUAUCUCUUCAGCAACUGUUCCUCAUUGGAAGUUUUGAAGCUAGAGUGUCCGAGAUUGACCAAUCUAUUCCUUCAGGUUAUUAUUCUUAUCUGCCAAUUUAAAUUUAUCCACACACAUCAUAAUUGUUGUUUCUUGCAAACAUAUCACACUUAGGAAAUGGUUCCCAGUUCCAACCUAAUAGAGAUUGAGACUUGCAUGGUUAAUGAUUUAGUGAGACUCAACGAGUGAAUUUUACCAAAUAGGAGUGUCUGUGUGUGUUGGAAAGAAUGCGUGAAGAUCGAAUUGCUAGCAUUGCCUUCACUGCAUUACAAUUUAGAAUUCACAACUGUCGGAAAGAAUGUGUUAAGAUUUUAUUGCUAGCAUUGCUUUUUUCUGCAUUACAUUUUAUAGCGCUGUCAUUGGCUAUCAUUAUCUUUUUAGAAAAUUAUACGGUAGUGUUUUUGUCCCAAUCUUUUGGCUGGUUUAUCCCUCUCCUUUUUAAGAAUGGGCUGCAUACAUUUUUCUUAAAAAAAUGUUAGGGUAUGGGGUUGACCUCUGGUCCUUCACCUAAAAUAAAUGUGACAUUUGAUAUUCCUCAAAUCACUUGAGGAAUAUUUUUUUUUAAAAUUGUAAUGACUUAACUUCAGUCAUUCUUGCAACCCAUCCUUUGAUUCAUUGUUGUGUUAAUAGUUAUUUGCUUUCUAAUAUGUUUGUUCGCGUUUGGACAAUUUGGUUUUUUUAGGCGUGCAAUAUUGAUGAGGAGGCUGUUGAAGCUGCUAUAUCAAAAUGUACUAUGUUGGAGACUCUUGAUGUUCGCUUCUGUCCUAAGGUGAGAGCAAAUGCAUAUAAUAUUUUUGAAAUGUUGAUUUCGGCAAAUGAACCUUUAUUUUGCAUAUGAUUGUUGCAUGGGAUGUUCUUCAAUCAUUUAUGGGAUAUUUUAUGGUGCUUUGCAGAUAAGCUCAGCGAGUAUGGGAAAAUUUCGUGCAGCAUGUUCUGGUUUGAAGCGUAUAUACAGCAGCUUGUCAACUUCAUCAGCAUGAUUUAGAAUCUUUGAUGUUUUGUGGUGCUUGUUCACUCGGAGAGAAGGCACACUUGGCAAUAAAUCGGGUUAUUCCUAAUGUAUUGUAAAUUGUUAUCUUUUAUAUUGUUGUUUGUUUGGCAUAUAGAAAUGAGGUUAUCUUCAUGCAUUGCCACAAUAAGUUUUUGAUGUUUUUUACUUGUUGUAAAUUUUAUAUUUCAAUUUGUUGCUGCAUAUUGUAUUCUGAAAUGUUCUGAAGAAUAGGUGUUUGUUUGAUCCUUUUCAUAUACAUUUUAUGCUGUAAUAUUGACAUUUACAUUUUGAAGAAUAGAUGCUUGUUUGAACUUACAUUUUGCGAUGGUUGGACGAAUUGCAUUUGUAGUUUGAUACUGUCUGUUUCUUUACAUGAUUGCAUAUUUACAAUUAUAUAUUUUGAUGAAAUUUUAAUAUAUGCACAACAUCAAAUGGAACAUUCGACCUGCCAGUUAUUCCCUCAACUCUAAAGUUAGCUGACGUUAAAAUAUUAACCCAGCCAACAUUUUCAAAUCCACAUUCAUCUUUGAAUAAUGCCUUUAGCGUUCUACCUUAUCAUAGACAUGUCUAUCUGCACUUCUAUUGAGGUGGAAUUUUAUAAUGUUUGGAAAUAUUUAGUGUUUGAAAUGGUAUUAUCACUACAGAGAAGAAAUUAAUGUAUGAUUCCAUUUCAUUUACCUGACUACCAAAUGAAGAUAAAAUGUACUCCUUUCCUUAAUUUUCAGUAAAUUAUAUUAUUAAUCUGAAAUUCAAAUUUAAGUCAGUGCUCUCAUGGUCCUAAAUAAAGUCCUUUGCAUUACUUUAUAAUAAUACAACAAAAUUAAACCAAAUGUGUAAACUCAAGCUUUGAUUUAAAGGAUUAUUAUCGUACAACUGAUUUAAUUCUUUAGGAUCCUAUAUGUAAAACAAGAAACCUCAGUAGGAAAUGAAGCAGAAGAACAGAGGAUGGCAUUUUGAUGGAAUUGAAAGAGAGAAACUGCUGAUAGGUUUUCUGAGGAAUACCACUAACCGCUCUUUUAAUUCGCCAUUAAUUAUUUAUUUCUUCUUUUUAUAAAUGUCCCUCCAACAAGCCGGCCUUAGUUUUCUCUCUCUAGGUUUUCUUUUUCAGUGGUGGUUUUGGGUUAAUUCUUGAUCUGAAAUCACCCCCUUUUCAUCUUUCUCUCUCAAUUUCAAUCUAAAUAAGUGAUUUUCACAUAGAUCUAAGUUUUUUCUUUGUGAUUUCAUCAUCUAAGUGUGGUGGUUUGUUGUUCGUCGUCUUGUGCAGCGUUGUUUGAUUUCCCGUCUUCUUGCGGUGUUCUUUGAUUUAUAUUUGAAAGAUCGAUUAUUCAAUCAAAGAUUUGGGUGUCAACGUUGCAGAUCCAGAGGUCAUGUAUAUUUCGGUCACUAUAAUUUUAACAUAUAUUUUUGUAGGCAUUAUGCCGUUAUAUGCUAUUAACUUGGAUGUUGUGAGUUUGUUCGUUGAUUAUCCUUUAUGUUUUUAGCGGUGUUUAAUGAUGUAAUCUCUCGAUUUGAAUGAAUGAAUAUCAUUUUAUUUUUUUCAAAAAAAGAAAAGAAGAGCAUCGAAAUGUAACUUCUGAGAGAACUGUGAGUAACUUCCAUAAACAUAUAAUAAACGGUCCUUAAAUUAUUUUUAAUGCAAGUCCAUGAAAUAUUGCUUUCUUUUCUAUUUUAAAAGUAAUUAAGGGACUAACAUGUUAAAUUAAGUAUAAUUUAUGGACUAUUUGUUGCGGUAUUGUCUAAUGUGCACAAAUAAAUUACUAUUGCAUCAUGUACAAUUUUUUUUUUUUUGGGUACAAAUGUACAAGUUUUUUUUACUAUUAGAACAAUAAGUCUUAUCACAUCUCAUUUGAUCCAAUAAUGAAACUUGUUGAUAUACUCAUGAAAACAAAUUUAUGCAUGAUGUAAAACUUGUUUCAUUUAUGCACCAUACACUUGACCAUUUAUUUGUCGUAUAUUUAUAUGAAUUCUGCUCUUCCCCCUGCACUUUUCGCUCGCGCCCUGCAGUCUUGCCAAAAAUGCCCAUGCGUGAGUUAACUCACGCUGGUUUUCUUUCAAUAUUUACUUUGGCUACUUUUACUACUUUCACGCUUUCUCCAACCUCAGCAACAUAAUUCAAAAGUUUCAAUUCCAAACAAGACAUUUUUAUAUGGUUUCAGUUUCAACACCAUCAACUUCACCUAUUGGUAUGAAUGUUAGAAACAAUUCAGGAUUUAAAUGAAAAACUUGGUUCUUGCUCAAAUGGGAGAGAAACAAUUCUUGCUCAAAUGAAGACUUAGAAACAACUUCACCUAUUUUUAUAUAGUUUUGUGGCUCAAAUGGGAGAGAAACAAUUGUUUUUCCCAAAUUUGCUAUUGAUUUGUCCCGAAGUUGCAGACUAGCAAAAUUAAAACCUUCAUCUUAAAGUUAAUUUAAAUGGGAUGCAUAGGAUUAUGCGAGCUAGAGAAUUUCUCGUCUCUAGGUUAAGAAAAAGAAUAAUGCUAGCAACACUCUUUUCAACUCUCUCUUUUAUUGGUUUGAAUCAUUGUGGGUCUACACUUUGGAAAUUGAACCUACACAAAGUGGUGUGACAUAUAUUGAUUUAUUUAAUAGAAGAGUGAGUGCUAGAGAGAGUGUUGAAAAGUGAGUGUUGCUAGCAUUCUUCAAAAAAUAUUUCUCUCAUUUCUUUUAGCCAAAUUUGGUUCUUUUUGCAGUACACUAUUUUAUGUGCUACUACUUUCUCAGUUUUGGUUUUUAAUGAAGACUUGGUUCUUGCUCCAGUCUUUAUCUCCACACAUAUUUUGAAUGUCUAUUAUAUUGCUUUUGUUUUAUCGUAAUCACAUGUAAUUUUUUUAAUCGUGGAAUUAUUGAUAUUUCAAUGAUGAAUAUUCACUAGUCCAAGUUUUUCCUUUUGAUGUAGGAGUGGUUCUAAUUAGUUCAACCUUAGUGUUUACAAAUGUAAUGUCAUAUGUGUGUACGAUAUUAAAUAUCAAAAGAAUGAUUGAAAGAUGAAGUCUGAUAUUAGAUCUAUAAAUGUUAAACAAGAAAAGUAAUACAUUAAAAUGAUUUUGGUUCAAUUGCGAUUUGAAAAGAUAAUUGCUCUAAAUAGAUUUUACAAAUAUUUCUACCAAGAAAAUAUGAAGUUUAUUAGCUUAAAUACACAUUAUUGUACUUUCAAAGAAGACACUAAUUAGCUUAAAAAACAUUAGUUUAUCUUACAUUUAAAAUUCAACACUCUUAGCUUUCGGAAGAUUGAUCUUGUUUAUAACUAAUAUUUUAGUUAAUCGCAAAAAUGAGAGAAAAUUGGUAAUCAAUAAAGAGUUUAUAUGGUAGCAACAUUUUUUAUUACGUGAUAGAACCGUGCAUUUGAUGUGACUAUCAUUUUUUAAGCAAGUUGGUUUGGUAUCUUUGUAGAGGAAGUGAAUAAGUAUCCUACGAUGAAUAAAAAUCUAGUCUUCAAUUUUUUUUUUUAAAGGAGUCUUCAAAUGUUAUAAAUAAACUUUUACACAAGUGUACAAAUUAUAGAGGAUGAUUGAUCACUGAAAAUUAAUAGGAUUAACAUGUUCAACUAUAUUCUUCACAAACAACAGAAAAAUAAGUUCAUGAAUAUCUUACAACACACAAUGAGCAUGCAUGCAAGGUUUCUUUUUUUUAACAAACAAAAAUGGAUUAUAUUAAAGUGUUAUAUAGCAGUCCUUUUAGUAUAAGGUGUAUCGAAAAGACUACUAAAAAAAACAAGCAGUUCACAUAAAAUACAACAAGUGGUUAGUCAAUGCCUAAACACGACAAUGGACUCGAUGACUCCGCAUGCAAGGUUCUUACAUUACAAAGAUGCUUUACACUUCAAAACAAGAAAGAGAAGAAUAAGAAUGAAAACAAUACCACCAGAAGAACCACCAACUCUAUGAAUCCAAUUACGAUCAAACCUUGUGAAGCUCUUAUCCAAAAAAGCUGAUAAAGAUAUGACUAAAACCAAUACAAAAAGUAACAUUGGUAACCAUAAAGUAACACUAAUUGGUUGUUCAUCAUCUUCCAACUCACUCUCUGAUCUGUGAUCUAUGUAUAGAGGAGAAGCCACAGCUAGAACUACUAAGCUUAUGGCUGCUACUCUCUCAUAAGAUGAAAAUUUGUGACCCCUCCUACUAGCUUCAGGUUCCAUUCAGAAGAUUGAUUUAGAUGAAAAUUGUGUUGUUAAUUAAAAUGUAUGUAUAUAUGAUAUGAUAUGAUGGAAUUGCAACACAAAAAUGUUGAUAUGGUAAGUGGAAUAUUGCUUUUCAAAGUAUGCACUAACUAAAGAGCAUCGGAUUCUCACUAACUACUAUAUUCUCAUUCAUGUACUAAUGUGGGACCCGAAUAAAAAUGAAUAUCAAUGUGCGCAAUCUUUUUUAACCAUUUUCUUUUUUGAAAGAUAGAGAACAAUCAACAAAGAACUAGAAACUCCAGAACCAUCAGCAACUAACAAGUGAUUAAUCUAAGCUGGGGCUAGCAAGCUCGUAGAAAAUCAAGAAGAAUAAGCUAUCACAAAUCGUUAUUGGCCAAAGCAUAAGCGAAAUUCCAACGGCACUUGACCUUGUGAAAGGGGCUAUCCCACGAUAUGAUAAACCAAUGUUGGAAUCUCAACUAUGAGAAGUACUCUCAUUAAAGUCCGACACACCUCAAAUAGGAUUACAUCUAGCGAAUGAAACCUACGGAAAAAGGAAACAUCAACGCAAUGAUUUGCUUCACAAUAAUAAUGACAAAUUUUUACUUCUCAAUCCAUAUGUAAAAGCCUUUGAAUCUAUAACACCAACCAAAUAUUUCAAAUCCUUUUUAACUUUGAUCAUACUCCCUCCGUCCUAAAUUAUAAGCCAAAAAAAAAAAUCACACUUAUUAAGAAAAGUAAAACAUAAGAAUUUGAAGUAUAGUUUUGUGUUUUUUUUUGAAAAAGUUUUAUAGGAAUAUGUAAAAACAAUUUUUAUUGGCUAUAUAUUGGUUAUGGAAAAAAUGAAAGAGAGAGAAAAUUGAAUGAAAUUUGCAUUUAAUUUUAUGAGAAUAAACAAAAGUUUUACUUGGAAAAGAGAUUUAAAAAAAAAAAACAAGAUUAAAUAGGAUAAAAAUUUGUCUUUUUUGCUUAUAUUAUGGGACAGAGGGAGUAAUUGUUAUGCUCACAACAAAUCUGUUAGGUCAUGAGGGGAGCUCGGAGGACCGUCCACAUCGAGGCUAGAACAACCACACUAGUGAGAGAGACUCCACAUUCUUACCUAAAACCUUAAGGCAAUGGGUUUAUGAGUCCUCUUACUUAUAAGGUGUACAACCUUUACUUUUUUAUCCGAUGUGUGACAUAUAACUGACUCUUGCACACAACAAAAUCGUCCUUAAAUUACUCUGUUCUUUCUUAGCUAUAACACCUAGUCAACAUCCAAGUACGUACGAGAAAUCCUACCCACUAGAAAACAAGUGAAAGACACAAAUGUGGGACCAUAAAGUGUGCUGGCUUGAACUUAACCCAAAACCUACUUAAUUCUAAUUAACCACCCUAAUUACUACUUCGGUUCGAAAUUAUAAAUCGUUUUAAAAUAUCCGUUAAAUAUUAAUAUUACUUUUCCAAUUAUACUAUUAACUAUUUAUUACUUUAUCUUCUUUCAAUUCUUUUAUUUAUCUUUCUCAUAUCAUUAAUGAAGGAUAAUUUUGUAAAAUUACUUAUAAUUUUGUUUUCUUAUACAAAAUUAAUUACAUUUAUUAAUUUGCGUAAAAUAUCCAAAACAACUAAUAAUUUUGGACGGAGGAAGUACCUCACAAAUCAAGUAAAUGACCAAUAAAUUGAGCUAAAUGAAGCCGAUAACUCUUAUUUCUGAGUUAUGAGUGGUUAAUGAUCUCCCAAUUACUAAAUGAAUGAUAUACAAGAGAUGUGACUCAUAUACUUAAUACGUCAAUUUUUUUUAAAUUUUUUUUUUUAUGUUAUGUGUUGUUAAAAUCUCGUGGGAAACAAGUUGCUUAAUAAUAGUGGUGUCCAAAUGUUGAGAAACUUUUCUUCAACUCCAAAUAAUAUCCUUUUUAAACCAUUUAUUUAUUGAAACGUUUAAAACAACUUCACCCCACACUUGCAUGAAUAUGGUUCGCAAAAUGCAUUGUUUUGCUUCUGUGUAUAUACAUGAUAAAUUGAUUUCUCAAGCUGCACGAUCGUGAACAACUCAACAAAGACAUGCACUAUGUUGAUUCAAACAGCAUGGUCAUGCAUAUAAAUCGACAUCAACAUACUAUAUUCAAAGAGUUAAAAGAAAUUGAAAUCCAUUACAUUUAUUGAUCUUUACAUGAAAUUGAAAUCCAUGGAAGAUACUCAUUCAAACCACCCUUUUACACUAUAGAUUCUACCACAUCACACAAAUUCUUAUUCUAUCACACAACCCAGCUAAAUCCUUUCCAUUCCUCUCAACACAAAACACACAAAUGGAUGAUUUACUUGCAUUCCAUAUUUUUCAAUAACACAUUUUUUUCAAUGUAAAUCCCAAUAAAUUUUAUUACACGGGAAAGAUGAAGAUGGAAUUAGGGAUGAAUAUGGAUUUGAGGUAGAUGCAGAUGAACCCUAAUUGCACCAACUUAUAUUAGUGGCAUUUUGUUUCUAUUUUUUUAAUUUGUAAUUUUUAAGCUCGCAUUCACGUCUGUAUUUCAUUGGCCAAGUGUCCCUUUCAAACGACCAACUCACGAAAGGGACGAACUUACCUCAAUAUUGUUAAUGUUUUGGACCAACUUAAAAUAUUUAAAACAUAAGUCAGGAAAAAUUUAAAACACAAACGACCAAAAUAAAAUCUAAAAUAAACAUAAGAGACCAAAAAUACAAUAUUUUACUAUAUUAUCUAAAAUUUCAUUUUAACAUUUACAUUCUAUAUCUUUAAAUAAAAUAUGAGGAGACGACGCAGCAAGUGAGGAAAAAUUCAACACAUCUCUAUUUCCAUGUAUUUUUAGAACUUGGUAUCGACUUACUUAACGCGUGAUGGAGCUAUAUGAGAUGAGCAAAAAAGACUUGCUCUAUGUUUUCAUUGAUUUAAAGAAUGCGUAUGAUAUAUUGUAUGGAAAGCCCUAGAGAAGAAAGGAGUAAGGAUUACUUAUAUUUGAGCUAUCAAGGACAUCUACUAGGAGGCUUCAACUAGUGUGAGGACGCACGAUGAGGUCACCAACGAUUUUCCCGUAACAAUAUGAUUGCAUCAAGGAUCAACCUUAGUCCAUAUCUUUUUACCUUAGUUUUGGAUGUACUUAUAGAACACGAGCUAGGAUCGAGAUGUAUGUUUUUUGAAAAUGAUGCAGUUCUACUUGGAGCAUUGAAGGAGGUUGGAGAUAAGCUUUAAAAACACACAACUUCUGUUUUAGAGGUAAAAAUUGGAGAUUAUAUCAUUUCACAAAUUACACAAUUUAAAUAUCAUGGGUCCAUAAUAUAAAACGAUGGAGAAAUAGAAGCAAAUAUAAUUCAUCAAAUUCAAUAUGGGUGCUUGAAAUUAAUGAGUUGAACCGAAAUAUGGUUUAUGAUUAAACAUGGUAACAUAAGCCGACCCCAUUUAAUACGAAAAUGUUUGAUUCGGUAUCUAGUCCAUGAACCGACAUAUCGGGGUUCAAUCUCAUCGAUCAUUUGCCGGACCCAUUUAAAGUUAAAAGAAGAACAUGAGAAGAGGGAGUAUAAUUUUGCUCGAAGCUACACAGUGUGUAUAUGGAAGGAAAGAGCAAUAAUAUUUGGGAGAACACUUGCAAAGCAAUAAUUUUUCUCCUAUAUGCAUGCAAAGGUUCGUACAUGGGUUGAUGUGAGUUUUUGACCUCGACAUAGGCACAUAGCAGUGUAGGUUCAAUCAAACUAAGAUAGCGCCUAAGAUAAUGGUGAUUUAUGAAGCAGCCCAAAUGGCAUUACAUAUAGUAAGAGAUGAUGAAACAAUCCUUCUUUGUGACAUUUACAUGUUUUUUUUUUUUAAAUGAAUUUAGUGUGUUUUGAUAUCAAAGUCUUUUUUUUUCUAAGAUUUUUCUAUAACUUUAAAUUUCUGUACUUGUGAAAUUUAGGUUUUCUCGUAUCUGGAUCAGACCAAUCUCUGCAGAGCUGCUAGAGUUUCUAAGCAGUGGCGAACCGUUAGUACUCAUGAAGAUUUCUGGAUGAAUUUGAAUUUUGAAAAUCGGAACAUAUCUGAAGAACAAUGUGAGCUUGAGUAUAUGUUGUAUUCUUUAUAAAAGUUUUUAGUUUUAUAAAUGUGCUUAUUUAAAGUUUUAUGUAUAAUCACAGUUGUGAGCAUGUGUAGGCGUUAUCCGAAUGCUACAUCAUUGAGCAUAUCAGGACCUACUAUUGAUUUGCUGGUCAUGAAGGCAAUGUCUUUGCUAAGGUAGGUAUUUUGUGUGACAUUGCACUGAAUCAAGUCAUGUUGGAUUCUGGCUGAUUUGUUUCAUUAUUUUCAGGAAGCUCGAGGUUUUAACAUUAGGAAGAGGACAAAUAGGGGAUGCUUUUUUUGUUGUUCUACCUGAUUGUUCCAUGUUGAGAGAAUUGUAUAUCGAUGAUUCUACACUUGGAAAUAGUAUUCCGGAGAUAUCUGUUGUUCAUGAGAGAUUGUGUCAUCUUGAAUUAAUAAAAUGUCGUGGGACGCGAAUACAAGUCAGGUGAAUAUGCCUCAAAGUUUGACUGACACCUCCGAUGAUAAAAUAAAAAGUGAUGGUUUAUUCAUUUUUCAGGUGCCCACAACUUAAAACUAUGUCUUUGAAGAGCAGUAACAUGGCACAGGUUGUACUUGAUUGCCCUCUUCUACAUGAACUUGAUAUUGGUUCUUGCAACAAACUUCCUGAUGCUGUUAUUCGUGCUGUUGCAACUUCAUGCCCUCAACUGGUGAAGCUGGACAUGCGUAACUGUUCUUGUGUCAGCGAUGAAACCCUGCGUGAAAUAGCGCAGCAUUGUCCUAAUCUUGGUUUUCUUGAUUCAUCAUACUGCCCAAGCAUAUCUUUGGAGGUGUGCUUCAAAUUGUAUACUCGCUUUUUUGCAUAUGUAAGCUUGUAUUUUGAACUAAAGUAUAUGGCUUUUCUCUUUUAAGUCGGUUCGGAUGACAAUGUUGACAAUUCUAAGGCUUCAUAGCUGCGAGGGCAUCACUUCUGCAUCAAUGGCUGCUAUAGCUCAUAGCUCUAUGUUGGAGGUAUUUUAUCUGUCCCAGAUAUUGAUAUUAAUGACAUGUCUGAAUUCAUGAGUAUUACGAUUAAUACAUUUAACCACCCCGCCAAUGCAGGUUUUGUAACUCCGCAGUUGCAGUCUAUUGACUUGAGCGUCGUUGGAUCUUCCACAUUUGAAGAAUAUUAGAUUGGCGUACUGUCGCAAGUAUGUUUCUGCUUCAUUUUCUCUCUCCCCAGAAAAGCACUAUAAUUCUAUUAUUGAUCCGUCUCUCUCUAUUGCUUUUCACUUUCUGUUUAAGUCAAUACCAAAUCCUUUUUUCUAUUGUUGCGCCUAAUUUAUUUUUUUGAAUGGUUUCCUUUGCAGAUUAGCAGAUUUGAACUUGAGGGCUAUAUCGCUUUCUUCUAUACAAGUGUCUGACUGCUCUGUACUUCACCGGAUCAAUAUCACUUCAAAUUCACUUCAAGUAUGUGUUAUACACUUAUACUUAUGUCUUGUUUCAUUCCCCAUUCUCAUAUAUUCUAGAGUAUAUGCAGACAUUAGCACUGCAAAAGCAGGAUAGCUUAACUUCAUUAGCAUUGCAAUGCCAAUCUUUCCAAGAAGUGGAUCUCUCUGAGUGUGAAUCUUUGACAAAUUCUAUAUGUGAUGUUUUUGGUGAUGGUGGAGGAUGUCCUAUGUUGAAAUCACUAGUUCUGGAUUAUUGUGAGGUACAUGAACAAAUAUUUCUUUUGAAUUUCUGGAUUUAUUUUCCAAAAUUUGAUUAUUCAUGAGCUAUGUUAGUAUAGUAGUAUAUUCUGACAAUUCAAAUAAGUGUUUUCCUACUCUUGAUCCCUUUUACACAAUUCUAAUUGUUUUUUAUAUAAUCAACUAAUCCAGCUGUACCAUAACUUAUUGAUUGAAGUUUUGCUUGUGAUUUUUAUAAUACUGAUGUACUUUUUUUGUAUGUCAUAUUGAUGAAGUUUAUGAAAGGGUAUUCUUGGUAUUCUCACAAAAUCAGUUUAAAGAACUACUGAAAUUUGUGACUUUAGUUGAAAUAAUUGCAUGAAUCAUUAUUAGUUGUUACUAUCAGUGUUUAGCGGUAGAUGAUCCUUGGGAUAAUGUCUCAACUUUUCUGGCUGUUGUAUCUGUGAGAGAUUAGGUUUCUUUUCAUUCCUGGGAUUUUGUUGGUCAAAUGAUCUAUACUUGUAUGGAUGUUAACAUUCUUUAGCCUGCUUGUUGUUCGCUGCAUGUAGAGCCUGACUUCAGUUCGCUUCAUCAGCACCUCGAUAAUCAGUCUUUCUCUAGGCGGUUGUCGAGCAAUCACUACUCUUGAGCUAACCUGCCCUAAUCUUGAGAAGGUCAUUUUGGACAGCUGUGAUCAUUUGGAAUAUGCAUCAUUUUGCCCUGUAAGUGACAUUGAUUUAUUAUACAAUUUAUACUUGAUUUUUGUGAGAUGAGUUUUUUUAUUUCUUGCCUUUUUUGUGCACUUCGAUUUUUAUCAGCUGUAAUUUUUUAUUUCUUCUUUCCUUUUGAGUUGAUCAUGUGUUGAACUAUGUGAAAUAAGAACUACAGAAUAAUAGUAUAACAUCUUUUGCUUGUAUUUAUUUAGCUAUCUGCAUGGUUUAAGUAAUAGUUUUAUACAUUUGCAGUCCAAGAGGUUGCUGUUAUGUUAAGGCUUUGUAAUUGGGACCACAGUUAUUAUCAGUGUAUUAAGAUACCUUGAAGUCAUAUCUUGAUUUUGAAUAAAUCAUGAAUCGUAGUAAAUAUUUGGAUAAUAUUCGGAAAAUAGGUCUUCCGAUUCAUGAUUUGAAUCUCGAUCUGAAAGCUAAGCAACUCCCUUUUUUCAUCUACUUCUCAGCUUGCUCUUCGAUCUCUCAAUUUAGGAAUAUGCCCAAAAUUAAACAUACUCCGCAUUGAAGCAACGUUAAUGGUCUCCAUUGAGUUGAAAGGAUGUGACGGACUGUCUGAAGCAUCCCUUAAUUGUCCUCUCUUGACAUCUCUGGAUGCUUCCUUUUGCAGGUGAUGCUUUAUUUGCUAGUUUCUUGGCUAUCCUGCUUGCGUAUGGAGUAUGGACUGAUGUUUGUUGUUUUGAAUUAUAGUCAACUCAAUGAUGACUGCUUGUCUGCAACAACCCGUGCCUGUCGACUAAUUGAGUCAUUAAUAUUAAUGUCAUGCCCAUCGAUUGGGUUAGAUGGACCCUGCUCCUUGUAUUGGCUCCCAAAUUUAACCCUGCUUGAUUUAUCAUACACUUUCUUGGUGACUCUGCAGCCUGUUUUUGACUCUUGUAAACAACUAAAGGUAAAAAACAUUAUAUUUUAGUUUACAUAUUUUUUACUGUCUUGCAAAUUACAAAUAGUAUAAUAGUAGUGAAGAACCGCUCCUCCCAUCCUCAAAACAAAUCUCCAGAAGUGGUGGUUAUUUAGUUUGAUAAACCUAGCGAAGUUGUGAUGUUAUACUACCAUACACACAGAAGUUGUUCAGAAGAGCUUAUUUGUGUCUAUCUCGUGUUUAAAUACUUAUAUUAUUAAUGUUUUUGGAUUUAAAAAAAAAAACAUUUAUUUCAUUUUUCAUCGUUUCCUGCUUCUGCAACAAUGAAGACGCAGAAAUUGGCUGGAAAAUGGAGAUAGAAGGGGACUGAAAAGAGAGAGGAAAAAGUGGGCAAAACUCCUAACAUUAUUUUGUUUAAUGAGUUACUCAUUCCUUGGUCCACAGGUUAUGGAAUGAUGUAUAACAUUUGUAUAAUUAUUUUCUUUGCCUUUUUCUGACGGUGACAUUCUUGUUUCUUGAAGGUUUUAAAGUUGCAGGCAUGCAAAUAUCUCAUCGACUCAUCGCUUGAACCUCUUUACAAGGGGGGUGUUUUACCAACUCUUCAGGAGUUGGACUUGUCUUAUGGAACUUUGUGUCAGCAAGCCAUAGAAGAGCUUCUUUCUUGCUGCAGUCACCUUGCACAUGUGAAUUUGAAUGGCUGUGUGAACAUGCAUGAUUUAAACUGGGGGCAAAGUCGAGGAACUUUUCCUGAGUUACCUGGCAUAAGCAUCCUAUCCAUCGCAAGUUCCUACGAAAACAACCAUGUGUCAAGUGAGUGACCCACCCGAUUACUUCAGAACCUCAACUGCGUGGGUUGUCAAAAUAUUAGGAAGGUUUUCAUUCCAUCAACAGCACACUGUUCCCAUUUAUUGUUUUUAAACCUUUCUCGGUCAUCUAAUUUGAAGGAGGUUGAUGUAGCCUGUCUCAAUCUAUGAUGGCUUAAUCUAAGGUAUUGUUUGCCUCUCAAAUGAAUGUGGAUUGGUUUCUGUCCUCAUAACAGAUCGUAAUGUUUUGACUUAUCUCUUCAGCAACUGUUUCUCAUUGGAAGUUCUGAAGCUAGAGUGUCCGAGAUUAACCAAUCUAUUCCUUCAGGUUAUUAUUCUUAUCUACCAAUCUAAACUUAUUCAUGCACAUCAUGAUUAUUGUUCUGGAUAUACUUUAAAAUUUAUUGUGGUAAUAUGUUUUUUCAUAUUUUCUGCAUGAAAAAUUCUAGCAACACACUAUCAGACGCAUUCUUUUGUACGCUCUUUGUUAUUGAGUGAAAUUCAUGAGUCCUACCACGUAGGAAAUGGUUCCCAGUUCCAACCCAAUAGAGAUUGAGACUCAACAAGUGUGUAAAGAAUGUGUUAAGAUUGUAUUGCUAGAAUGUGUUAAGACUCAACCUGUAUGUGGGUGUUGGAAAGAAUGUGUUAAGAUUGUAUCGCUGGAAAUGUUUUUACUGCAUUACAAUUUACAAUUGUCAUUGACUAUCAUUAUUGUUUUAGAAAAUUAUUAUUCUUUCGUCUUGGGUUAUGCGACUCCUUUCAAGAAUGGGCGGCAUACAUUUUCCUUAAAAACUGUUAGGGUAUGGAGUUGACCUCUGUCCUUUACUUGAAAUAAAUCUGACAUUUGAUAUUCAUCAUUUGAGGAAUAUUGUUCAAUUGUAUGACUUAAAUUUAGUCAUUCUUGCAACCCAUUCAUUAAUUCAUUGUUAUAGUUAUUUGCGUGCUCAAGUUGAGACAAUUUGAAUAUUUUAGGCUUGCAAUAUUGACGAGGAAGCUGUUGAAGCUGCUAUAUAUGUUGAAGACUCUUGAUGUUCGCUUUUGUCCUAAGGUGAGAGCAAAUACAUAAAUUUUUUGAAAUGUUGAUUUCAGUUAAAAUGAAACUUUAUCUUGCAUGAUGCAAUGCAUGGUUGCUUGAAUGUUUGUUUUUAUCAUGUUCUUCAAUCAUUUGUGAUAUUCUAUGGUGCUUUGUAGAUAAGCUCAACAAGCAUGGGAAGAUUCCAUGCAGCAUGCUCUAGUUUGAAGCGUAAAUAUAGCAGCUUGUCAACUUCAUCGGCAUGAUUUAGGAUAUUUUAAGUUUCGUGGUGUUUGUUCACUUGGAGAGAACGCAUGCCUGACAUUAAAUCGAGUUAUUUCUAAUGUAUUGUAGAUUUUUAACUUUUGUAUUUUUGUGUUUGUUUGGCAUAUAGAAAUGAGGUUAUCUUCAUGCAUUGUAACAAUAAGUUAUCCUUGUUGUAAAUUUUACAUUUCAAUUUGUUGCUGCAUAUUUUAUUCUGAACUGGUCUGAAGAAUAGGUGCCUGUUUGAUCUUACAUUUUACGAUGGAUGCGGGUAUUUACAUUUAUAGUUUGAUAUUGCCUGUUUCUUUAACAUGAAUGCAUAUUUACAAUUAUAUUUUGAUGAAAUUUUCAUAUAUGCACGAGAUCAAAUGGAAUCAGUGUGCAUGAACUUAUUUGAAUCAACAUUCGAUCUGCCAGUCUCAAACCUACACCAUCAAACCAACCCUUGCGGGUUAGAUUUUUCCAAACUUGUUGAUUUGCCAUAAAGUGUGCAUGAAUUUAUUGAUUUUCCAAACCUACACUAUCAAUUAUAUCUUGAUUUUAAGUGGACGCAUUGGAUUAUACAAGGAGUCUCUAGGUUAAAAAUAAGAUAUAUCUCUCAUCUUUUAGCCAAAUUUGGUUCUUUUUGCAGUAUAAUUUUUUAUGCGCUGAUUUUCUCAGUUAUAUUGCUUCUGUUUUAUUGCAAUCACAAGAAAAUUAAAUCAUGACAAUAGUUUUAGUUCACUUGAGAUUGUAAAAGAUAAUUGUUCUUAAUAGAUUUAGCUAAUAUUUCUACCAUGAAAAUAUCAAGUUUAUUAACUUAAAUACAUUGUACUUUGAGCGCAGACAAUAAUUAGCUUAAAACAUAAAUUCAUCUUAAGUUCAAGAUUCAACACUUAGUUUUAUCAUAAACCUUCCUUGAGCAUGCAUGCAAGGUUCUUACAUUACAACAGAGAUGCUUUACACUUCAAAACAAGAAAGAGAAGAAUAAGAAUGAAAACAAUACCACCAGAAGAACACCAACUCUAUGAAUCCAAUUACGAUCAAACCUUGUGAAGCUCUUAUCUAAAAAAGCUGAUAAAGAUAUGACUAAAACCAAUACAAAAAGCAACAUUGGUAACCAUAAAGUAACACUAAUAGGUUGUUCAUCAUCUUCCAAUUCACUCUCUGAUCUGUGAUCUAUGUAUAGAGGAGAAGCCACAGCUAGAACUACCAAGCUUAUGGCUGCUACUCUCUCAAAUGAAGAAAAUUUGCUUCCCCUCCUAUUAGCUUCAAGUUCCAUUCAAAAGAUUGAUUUAGAUGAUAAAAAAUUAUGUUCGGGGAAAUUUUUUGUGUUGCUAAUUAAAAUGUAUAUAUGUUUAUAUGAUAUGAUGAAAUUGCAACACAAAAAUAUUGAUAUGGUAAGUGGAAUAUUGCUUUUUCAAAGUAAGCACUAAAGAGCAUCGGAUUCUCAUUCAAAAGAAAUACAUCAAUGUGCGCAAUUUUUUUAACCUUUUUCUUUUUUUGAAAGAAAGAGGGUGUAAGCUUGGGAAAAAAAAUUAUAAAACAGUCAUAUGAAAACUUAGAAUUAUCAGCUGACAAUGAUUAAUUUAAGCAGGAGCAAACAAGCUCGUAGAAAAACAAAGAGACUCCAUAUUAUCACAAUUUCGAUAGGGUUGAGUCAUACGGAAGGAACUGAACUUCCACGACGUGACAAAUUUAUAGUGUGUCUAAUUACUUGGUAAAGAAGUUUAUUCAAUGUGUUUCUCCUUUUCCAUUGGAAUAGAAGUCUUGUGUAUUUUUUUGUUUUGCAAAGUUUGAAGUGUAGGGUUUAUUUAAUUAGUAACAAUAACUAAGUUAAUCAAGAUCUUAUAUUAUUAAAAAAAACCUUCAAAUCUUUUGUACCGCCCAAAGCCUUUGAACUUCAGCAUUUUUUUUUAAGAUUGAUUUUCAAUUUUGAAAUCCAAUAAACCGUUCAGCUAACAUGUUUACUAAGCUUACUAAUAGAAGAACAAAAUCAUAUAUUUUGACCUUAUACCAUAUUCAUCUUGGCUUUUUUAAUCACAAAUUUUGACCCCAAAAUAUUGUUGGGGAAUGUCCCAACAUAUGAUCAUUUUAAUCGAGUCAAGAUCCUCCCCAUUUUGUAUCUCUUCCAUUUCUUCCAUUUGAAAAAGAUAAGGACACAAUUAAAUUUAAAAAUAAUUAAUGAUGGUGGGACCCACAAUCCAUUUGUAUCUCUUCCAUUUCUUCCCUUUGGAAAAUAAUUAAUGAUGGUGGGACAUGUGCCAUAUUUUGUGUUUAUCCUUUUCUUUUUAGAUGACAAUCUCCGUUUAUUUUUAUAAAUAGAGAGGAUCCUAACUCAUUUUAAUCGAACUAUCUUUAUUUUAUAUUUUGAAUAAAUUUUAUGUUUAUGUGAAAAAAAUCUUAUAUUAUUUAGUCUAUUUAAAAAGUGUUUGAUUAAAAAUAAUUAACGAAACAUAAUUAUUAGGAAUAAGAAUUGUAACUUAAUCAAAGGGAAUUCAAUGAAGAUAAAUCAUCUUUGGGGUAUAGUUGUACUCUUUUUUUUUGAAGCAAUGGGUAUAGUUUUAAUAAAACAUGACAACAUAACACAUACACACAGUUACUUGUCCAAACCCACUCUGAUAUUGACGGAGAAACUUUGUCUUGAUUGAGUUUCGAUUCAGAUUUUCUCCAAUUUCAAAAUACAAAGACUAGGCAUAUAAUGAAGACAUUGGCGCCUAACUUGAACAUGUCCUAGUUACGAGUAUAAGUAGUUCACACAAAACCGAUAGAAUCAAAAAAUCAAAUAAAAAAAUCUUGCGACCCUUUAUGGUUCGGUUCAAAAGUUGGAUCAUAGGAAACAUAACAUGAUUGGUUCGGCUCUUUAUUUUCAAUUUUGAAAUCUCAUGAAUUGAUGAAUCAAUACGUUUAUUAAGUUAGUAAACUCACUUUGAUUUUCUAAGAGCCAUCAUAUUACUAAUACCCUCACACCAAUACAACAAGCAACAUUUUUAGACGAACCAAUCAACAUGAUCAAACCAAAGAUUAUCAAUUUAGUUUGAUUUUUAGACGAACUAAUCAACAAAUCAACAUAAUCAAAUCAAAUAUCAUCAUAUAAGUUUGAUUUGGUUUCACUUCUUUUUUCCGGUAGUCGGAGUUCGAACUCCGGAUCUUAUAUAUAUUAUACAUUGUCCUUAACAACUGAGCUAAUCAUUUGGUUUCACUUCUAAGAACGCUAAAAAUUAGAUUUGGUUGGAUUAGAUUCUUUUACCAAAAACCGAACCGGUCGAAUCCUUGACCGAAAACAUAACCGGUCCGAAUCCUUAAACCCUAGUGUCUUCUCUCUUCUUUCUCACACUUCAGAUCAAUUCUUCUCUCUCACGCGAACGGCCCCUUGUUCCCACUCUCUCCCUCUGCUUCGAUAAAGGUAUGAGAAUCUGAACUCUUUCUUCUACCUUUUCGUUUUAUACCUAAUCAUUGUUUUUUUUUUGAGUUUCUUUGUUAUUAUGCUUUUGUAGUAAGAUUUGUGUCAAAUUACUUGUUUAUUACUUCUCAAAUUUAUUAAUUUAAGAAAAAAUUAGUAACCUUUUUGCAUCUUGGUACUCUAUUCGAAUUUACAUUUUCAAUUUUCCGUAUAGUUUAGUUCAGAGCAAAAUUCCUGGGGUUUCUUAUAUAAAAGUGAUUAUUUUUAUUUGUAGGUUUGUUUAUUUUGUUAUGUUAAGCAUUCUGGGUAUUUGAAAUUUGUAAUGGGUUGUCUCAUUUUUCUUUUGUGUUAAAAUCCCUUGAAAUUCUUUCUUAGUGUGUGUUUGGUUCUGCGGUGACUUAAAUUUGAUUUUGAAUGAAUUGGUUUUGUAAAAUGAUUUUAGAUAAAGGUGAGUUCAAUGUAAAAUGUUUUAUGUUUGGAUGUAUUUAUGUAAAAGUGGAUUUAAUAAUAAAUUUAAGGCUAAAAUCAAUUGUAGAAGCCAAAAGCUACAAAUUCUAGCUUUUAAGUAGAAUCAAUUCUCCCUUAAGGGUCUGUUUGGAUUGACUUAUUUGAGCUUUACUAUUGGUAUAAGUUUUGUAAGGCUGUUUGGAAGAACUUAUGAAAACAUCUUAUGACAUUGUUCAUAAGCUGUUUUUAACUUAUUUUCAUAAGUUCUCCUAGCUAGCUUGUAAAAUCAGCUUAUAGCUCGUAAGAAAUUAAUUUAACUUUAUUUUAUCUUUUGCUAUUGAAAUAGCUUAUACAUAAGCUGCAAAUAAGUUGUUUAUCCAAACAGAUCCUAAAUCAUUCAAACAUGAUAAAAUUAAUUCUACAACCUUUAAAUCAAUUUUGACCCCUUCAAAAUUUAAAUCAAACAUGUGGUUGAUGAAAUAGUGAAGAAAGAAAGGAUUUCUGUUACUUUUAAUGCUAGGGGUGGGUUUGGGACAAUUGGGGCAGGGGUCUAUUGUUUUUACAAACUACUGUUUUGCGGGGAUGGGGCGGGGCAGGGAUACCUGAACCCCCGUCAGGGAUCCGGAGGGUUACAAGGAAUGAUCAGAGACUCGGGUUCGGGGACGGGGAAGGCAAAAACCAUCCCUGCCCUGUUGCCAUGCCUAGUUCAGAGGGUCUAUCUACAAAAUACUUCUUGCCAUAUUAUAAAUAUGAGAGCUGCAGCCUCAUAAACCAAUUCCAGUUUCUCCCUGCCAUUAGUUAUCAGUCAGUUUUCUAAUUAAACCCACAAUUUCUUUUAUUACCUUUUAAUGUGGAGAGUAAUACCCAAGUUUAUAACAUUUUAUACCUUUACACAAGUUUGUAAUAAUUAGAACUUCCUUGGUAAAUUGUGUACAAACUACAAAUACCUUGAUAUACACUAGAACUAGAAAUGUUGAGCAAAUGGAUAGUUCUUUUCGAUAAGUAAACAUGGUGCAAAUUGUGUAUUGAAACAAUUAGACUUUUCAAUGGCAGACUUUGUUUACACGAAGUCAUAUAGUAUGAACUUGUAUAACUCACUAAAUAAGUUUGUGUUACUUUUAUUUUCAUUUUUGUUUCAAAAGCUUUGUACUCAGAAAACCUUGAUACUCCUUGGAAUUAAUAGCUGAGGUGAAUUUGCUAACAGAACUUAUGUUUUUGUGAUGUCUGAACUUGCUUCCUUUUCUAUCCUGUUGUUGUUGAUAUUGUGCUUUAUUUGGUUUCAGUAUUUAUUAAUGGGAAUUGUGUGAUAAGCUGAAGAUAGUGUAUAUGAGGGGAACUUCCUUAUUUGUGUUGUUGUGAUAUCUGAACUUACUUCCCUUUUUCGAUUUUUGUUAUUUUUUCUAUUGUGUUCUUGUUAACUUUUUGAGCUAAGAUUUUGAUUUAUUAGUCAUCUAAAUUCAAUCUUUAUUUCUGAAUUUUUGUACUGUGACCUUACUCUUUGAUUGUUUGAAUUUAAAGUUUACGACUUUGAUGAAAAAAAUUCCUUUUUUUUUAUUGGGUAAGGAGCUCCAUUGUGGUAGAAAAUGAAUAUAACAGUGUGACAGAUUAUGAUUUCUAUAUAUUGUUAAGCUCUUUUUUUACCUUUAAGUUGUUUUUAAAUCCUACAGCAGAGCUCGUUUGCAUUGUGAUUUGAUUCUUAAAUGUUGAGACUUUAGGUGACAGAACAAAGUAGUCUUAAGAUGUGGUUCAUUAAACUUGAACUCUCGGGUUAUCAGCCUUUUUAAUAACUCUAUGAAAGCUGUCAUUUGUGAUUUUCAAAGCUUAUUUACGCAGUUAUGAUAGAAACUGAAUUAGUAAUCUCAAAAUGCACAUUGAUUUAUAUAAUUCAUUUGUCUUUUUUUCCUUCUAGAGUAAGAAAUGGGUAACGCUAAGAAGAAGGCUCAGAUGUUCGUGAAACUUGUGUCUGCUGCGGGAACUGGAUUCUUUUAUGUUAAGAGGAAACCAAGACAGUUUACAGAGAAACUUGAGUUUCGAAAGUAUGAUCCCCGAGUUAAUCGUCAUGUGCUGUUUACAGAAGCUAAAAUGAAGUGAUAUAGUGCAUCUUUCAUUGCUUCCUUGUAACAAUCUUGUACUUCUUUUUGAGACAAUUAUCACAUUUUAUAUUACAGGUGGAAUAAUGCCAAUCUUUUAAUUGUUUGUUGAGAUUGAUUGUUAGUAUGCAGUAUUAUUUGGGCUGUUUGUUUGACUCGUCUAAAUUCAUUUCUAGGACCAACUUUCCAAGAAAUAUAUUGAUGAAAUCUUAUUUCUGGGUAAUUUUUUAGAAACGGUUGGACCAAUAUUGUAAAUUAUCCCUAAUUAUUAAAAUUUCAGAAAUUUUCUCCACCACUAAAUUUGGCCUUAUUUUGAUAAUGUGUCAGAUUGAAUAAUGAAUGGACAAGUCAUUAGAUUAUCAAUAAACUUUGUAAAUAAAUUAUAGAAUUAUUCAAAUUUAAUCAAUAACUUUUCAAUAAAUUAUUAUAAACCGGAUGUUGUACCCCUUCCUCUCUGGGUUUUGGGAUUCGAACCGAGUUUCUCAAGGUUGAAGAGAUAAACUCUCUCAACCAAGUUACUUCUCGGGAGACAGGCUAUGUUGUACACCUUCUAUGACUCAUAUAUAUGGCAUAUUUCACAAUCAAUUUAUUAUUUUUAUUUUUUUGAAAUAACAAUCAAUUCAUUAUUUGAAAAGCUUUUGUUUUGUAAUAUUGAAGCUUUAUUCGGCCAUUAAAUACCAUUGUUCUUAUGUUUACUCGUGGAAAAACGGAUUCCAGUUUUUUAUUGGGCUAUUUUUUUUUAGACACACCCAUAUAUAAUUUUAAUAUGCAUGUUGUAUAUUUUUAAAUUAAAAUUUGAGGAGGUGCAACAAGUGGGGAGAAAUUCAACACAUCUCUGUCUUCUCUUCGUCAUAUGAAUGAAGAGAUGGUGCUAGCCAUAGUACAAUUUUGCUUGAAAUGAAAGAGCAAUAAUAUUUGGGAGAACACUUGCAAUGAUCUUUCUCCUAUAUGCAUGUGAAGGUAUUGGGUUGAUGUGAGUUGGUCUCACCACAAAAAAGGGGUUAGAUUGAAGGGAUUUUAAAGCAAUUUGCAUGGAUUUUCAACCUCGACAGAUGAGUGGUUCAAUGAAAGGACUUUAGGAGGGCUGGUUGUGGUGGUUUUUGAAGUAACCCAUGUUUUAAAUGGCUGCCUUAUCUUAUAGAGAAGAGAUGUAGGGAGCUCUAUCUUAUAGAGACUUUAGGAGAAUUCAAUGCUAGUAUUAGAGGAAGAAAUUUGGUUAAGCAAAUAUUGAAACCUUUUUAUGUCAACAAUUGUGCUAACAUUUUAGACAAUAUGAGGUGAGUUGGGUUAUCAAGAUAUCAUCACAUAACAUUGAACUUUAAUUUGAGCAAUUAAGUGAGUUUAUCUAAAAGAUUCAGACAAUAGGCAUACAAGUCCUCUCAUUUACAUAUUAACAUUUAUUUUUCCAUGUAAUGUAGGAUUUUUAUUCGUAUUUGAUAUACCAACAAUUUUUCUCUCAAGCGUAAGUCCAUUUAUUCAUCUAGGUAUAUUUUCUCUCAAGCAAAAGCUUUUCAUUUGCAUACACUUGCCGUUGUUUUUGCUCCAUCAACAAGACAUGUUGUCAGACAAUCCCAUUGUCAUAUGAACUUUUGAUACAAAGAGUCGGUCGAACAAUCGACUAUAAGACAACUCCUAGAGAUGCCCUUGUUAAAUUAUGAGCAACUGGAUUAGCUUGUUGAUUAAUACAGUUUACCCUAAAGGUGUAUUGAAGGAAAGGAUGAGCCUGCACUGCAAACAUUAAAUUACUAAUUACAAAGUAGAACAUUUGUAUUAGUUGUUACAUGCUUUUACUUUGCAUGUAGAAAAGGCAUCAAAUGAAAUACAAUGUUACAGAUAAACGAGGAAAAUACAUUUAUCCGGGUAACAUAGAGUCAUAGAUGAAGGAAAUUUUUUCUAAAACUCAGACAAAAGUACAGCUAAAAAAAGAUUUUGUUGAGUAAGGUAAUUCUUGUCUUGUUUUUAGAUCCUACAAAAUCACAAAUGUAUAAGUUUAGUCCCUAUAAAAUUUUAUUGGUAGUUUUAGUCCUCCGUAAUAUUGUAAUUUGCAAGAAUCUCUAUUUAAAAAACUUUUUACAAAAAUAGACAUUUUUAAUCUUGCAAAAUAGUCUCUAUAAAAUACAAAUAGGGAUUAAAAGUAAAUAAAAUAAUUGUAGAGAUUAAACUUGAAAACUUGUAAUUUUGUGCAAAUUAAAAACAUAUUUAACCAUUUUUAUUAUUAGUGUUAAAAUUGCUGAGAACACAAUUCUAUUUUAUAUUAUUAGCAUAAAAAAUGCAUAAAACUACAAACUCUCCUGAAGUAGGAUAUUAUUCUUUUGGGAUUCAUUUCCACACUGGGAAAGUAAUUUAUUAUACUAAUUUUAAAAUACAUCUGCAGCUGAAAGGUAGAGUUAUGGGACCCCAAAAGCCUUAAAUAUAUUCAUUCAAUAGGCACGUGACUAGGAACAACUGCUUGUUAUUGAGAGAGGUCCUCCUUCUAGCUAAAAAAAUGCUUUGCAUGUGAUUCUUGGGCCACAUCCCUCUAAUUUUUCUUUUAUUUAGUUGAGAGGAAAUUAUGUAUAGUGUACUGUACUCCUACUGUUUAAGGAAAAUAAAAUUGUGUCACAUACAAAAAUAAUAUUUUUGACAUACAAAGGAAUGUAAUACUGACUACUAAAGUAUAUAGUUUUACUUUAUAACAUUUUUUAGGGAUAUUAAAUUUUUCUUGACUUAUUAUACCAUAUACAUGAAUGGUAAAAGAAAUAUAGUUAGCAUGUUCAUUUUUUAAGUUAGACUUAGACUUACAAAAAAGUUUAUCAAGCCUAAUAGGUUUGUUUGCAGGUAUAUAUAUCUAAUGAAAACUAUAGACAUAUUAAAAUAAUUUUAAACAAAUAAAUUAGUUCAUAGUUUUCUCGUAUUCUCUUGAGUCUUAACCCAAGUUCAAUCACUGUAAAAAUAGAAACCCUAGACUUUCAGCAAGUUGAGUUGCAACUUGCAAGUUGUCUGAUCUGUACUUUGAAAUUUUUGAUAGAAACCUCAAUGAUUUUCUAGAUGUUGAUGGACAUUUACAUAAAUUGUUUUAGUGUAUCAUUGGUUUUUUGUGUCUGGUCUUCCUGAUGAUUUUGUUGGUAUGGUUGAUAAUGGUAUUGUGGUUUUGCAUGGUUAGGGUUGUUACCACCCUGGAAAUUGUUGUUGUACUAAUUUUGAUUAUGAAUUUGGCCUUGUAUUUGGUUGUUAACAAAGUUAAUCUCUUAUUCUUUUAGACAUGAUGGGCUACACUUGUGUGUUCUUAAAUUUCAAAAACUAGUCAUUGAACACACUCUUAUAAAAUGGUCUACGUUGAUAGUAAAAAUUAAAGCAAAUCACGCAUUUAUAAAAAAAAAUUGGAACAAGCUCACACAUUUAUAAUUAAAAGACUCUUUGUAAAUUUAUAGAUACACUUAUUAUUAUUUUUUGGCUAAAAUACGUAAAUCAUCUUUAUAAAUUAGCGUGUUUUUGAUUUUUGUCUCUAUAUCUUUUUUUGUUCUAAAAUAACUCAUGUAAGUUAUAAACGUUUUGUUUUUUUGUCUUUGCCGCCAUCAUCUCUUACAAAAGCUCACAUGUGGUAAAGAGCGGCUGACGUGGCGACGUGUGACAUGGAAAAAGAUAUUUAUGUGUCGUUCCUCGAUGUUGAGUCAGAAAGUUAGAGGGACCAAAACAAAACAAAAAAACAAAAUUCGAAAAGGGACCAAAACCAAAAAAUAAGAAAGACAACGAAUAAAAAAAAUUCCAGGAAAUUCUUCAUCUUCUUCCUUCUAUUUCUUCUUCAUCAUCUUUAACACCACCUUCAUCAACAUUAAUAAAAAUCUAGAGAAAAAUAUUCAAAAGCAACAAUCAUCAACAACAUCACCAUCAUCUAAUCACUACACCACCAUCAACAACAAGUGAGAACAACACCCAAUUUCAUCAUCAAAAUCAUUCAAAUACUCAACAUACAUAAAAUCAUUCAAGAAAUCAUCUUUAAUCCAACACCUAGAAUCCUAAUUUCUGAGGUAAAAUAAGAAUUACUUCUAGAACCAAAGCAAAAGCAACAAAGUAGAAUGUCAAACACAAAAAACCAAAACAAAACAACUCUUCGACUCUCUCAUUCACCUAUCAUCAUCUUCAAUGACACCUAUGGUUGAAACCUAAAUGUUUAAAUUCCUUUGUUUCUUUUAAGGUAUCAAUUUUUGUUUUUUUUUUUCAAAAUAAUUAUCAAAAAAUGUUUGUUCUCAAAUUUUUGCAAUCCGGGAAAAUAUUUUCUCCUUUUUGGCCUUGGGGUUGUUCAAUUCAAAAUACAAAUGAACAUUCAUGUAUUGAGAUUUUUAAAUUCUGUUCAAGAUUGUCUCUCGUUUUUAAAUUCGAAAUAUAAAGAUGAAGAAUUUCCUGGAUAUUUUUUGGAUUUGUUGUCUUCUCGUUUUUUGGUUUUGGUCCCUCUGUGAAUUUUAUUUUUUGGUUUUGGUCCCUUAACUUUCUGACUCAUCAUCGAGGAACAACACAUAAAACUUUCUGACUCAUCAUCGAGGAACAACACAUAAACAUCUUUUGCCAUGUAACACGUCGCCAUUUCAGCCGUUGUUUGUCACAUGUGCAUUUUUGUAACAGAUGAUGACAGCAGGGACCAAAAGCAAAAUGUUUAUUACUUACAAGGGUUAUUUUAGAAAGAAAAAAAAAGGGACGAAAACCAACAACACACGAACUUGAAUGGACGAUUUACAUAUCUAGCCAUAAAUAAAUUAAUGGUAAUAGUUAUACACAGUUUGUUGUUGAAAAACUCUAAAGCACCUCAAACAACAACAAAUAAAACAUAAAAUUAUUUAGAUCACUCUUUAAUAUUUUUUGGACUUUGAUCCUCUCCUUUUUUCAUUCUCCAUUUCAUGUCUCAUUCUUGAUAUUUUCUCACUCUUAAUCUUAUUUUAUUUUUAUUUUUUUCUUUAUGUUGAUAUUCUCUCUAAAAUUUAGAGAGAAAGACACAAAAUACAAAACGAGGAAGAAGGAGGGGAUCCAACCUCGUAUUUUUCAUAGAAUAAACCAUUCUAAUGUGAUUACUACAAACUUAAUGUCUCUUUAGACAAACCACGACCAAAACUUCGGCAAUAAAGAGAUAAAACUUGUUAACAUUUUCUUAAAGAGAAUUAAUUAAAUGGAUCUAUUAAAGAGAAUUAAUUAAAUGAUAAGUAAAAAUGAGAGAAAUAAAAAUAAUUUGAGAAUAAUUUUUUUUAGGGUGUUGUUAACCGGUAUUUUCAAAGCAAUGAUUAAGGAGAUUAAAAAUACUUUAAUUUUGCAUUAAAAAUUAUAAUUUUUCAACUUUUUAAAAAGCUAAAUUCAACAUUUUUCACUAUUUUUCUAACAAAUUAUUUCUAUUUAUGUUAUCUUAACUAAAGUCUCAACGGCACUAAUAGCAUUUUCCUUUUUUUUUAACGGUGAAAAGAAUAAAUUAUCUUUAAUUACUUUCUAUUGUUAAGACGAGCUAUGACGAGGAACUAUGUAGGGAAAGAAACUAGAUGGGCUAAUGAUGGAGAGGUUUUGUUCCUAAAUAAGGAACAUGACUUAAUAUGGGGAACAGUAGUAGAUUAAGAAAGCUCUCAAAUUAUAUCCCAAAAUUAAAACUAAAGAUAAAAAAAAGACACAAAUGUCAUAAUAAAGUAUAAUAAUGAAAUGUUUGGUUAAAAAGAAGUUGUCGUGUUGUUUGGAUAACGAAAUUUGUGAUAUAGUGAUUGGUAAAAUCGUUGGGUAACAAUAUUAAAAGAAAGAGAAAUAUACAUGCAGACGUGAAAACGACCUAUUUGGAUUAUUGAUAGGAACGUUAACGGCGUCAAAGAAAGAUGUGUGUUUAGGGCUGUGGUUGUCAGGCUUUUGAUUAUAGGGUGGGGGCCAUAUAGGAAUCAUGAUCAUAAUAGAGACUGGACACAAAUCACCUUCCCGAGGAGUAAUAAGUAAGGGUAGUAGUAGUAACUUUUUUGAGUCAUUCAUUGAUGCAUGCAAGUUAAUCAAAAGAGAGUACCUAAAGUUUGUGGUCUUGUGGGUCCUACUUUUAUCUGAAAUGUUAACCAUUUCUCUUUAAGGUAUCAAAAUAAAUAAGUUUGCAUCGAAAAAUCGUAUAAUCAUUGAUAAGAAAAAAAUAAAGUCUUAUAUUUUUAAGAUAAAAUUUCUAUUAAUGAAAUUCUUAACAAUUGCUUUUAGAACACCGGUUAGCAAAACCCUACUUUAUAUACUUAAAUAUUUUCUGUUAUGAAUAAUGUUUUUCAGCACAUUAGGUGCUCUACUUUGUUAAUGGUCGUGUUAAUAAGUGCUAAUCUUAAUUUAUUUUGUUUGGUUAAGCAGUAUAUGGCUAGAAUUUACUUUUUAUUUAAAGUGAAUGAGUUGAUGUUCAGAAUUCGAAGUUGAUCCAUACAUAUAAUAAUAUAGGUAAAUAUAUUAAUUUGUGCCCUCUUAAAGGCACAUGUUAAGGUAUUCAUUAUAAAAAUAUACGUAUCAAAAGUUAUGUAAUCAACUUCUAAAAACUUAAAAUAUUAUAUUUUUCAAUGUAAAACUCUUUUUGAAUUUCUUAACAUGGGCACAAGUUAACAUGAUCCAAUAAUGUAUUAUCUAUAUCAACUAAGUCAUGGUUGCUCUAAUCUUAAUGUUAACAACACACUUUAUGAUUAUAUUUUUCAACACAUUAUUAUUGAUUGAUCAAAAUUUAUGUGGAUACUAUAAAAUUUAGACGAGACUCGUUUGAUUUUGUUAGUUUAUGUUAAUUUUAAUUAGUAAAGAAAAUAUGUUUUCUUGAAAUUGUGUGUUAAGGAGUAUGAGAAAGAAGGAAAGAAACCAUUCCCUUUCAACCAAUGAAUCCUAGUCCUAGCUUCUGCUAAAUACGAACAAAGUCAAUAUUACUUCCUUUUUCAUGUUUCUAUGUCAUUAUUUGGAACUUUAAAAAAUGUCACUGUUUGGAUAAUUGCUUCAUGGUGGCCUGCAGUAAAUUUUGUUCCCUCUUUUUCUUCUUUUCUCAUCUUUCCCCACUCACUCUCACAAGUUUACUCUUUUUGAUUAUAAAUUUUUAUCUUAGUCAAAAUAUUUUAUGAAUUUAAAUUUUAUUUAUUAAUACUGUUUAUUUAUGUAAAAACAUGAUACAGCACUCUAAUACUACAUAUGGUCAUUAAUCAAUUAGUAAGUUUUAGGACUAAUAAUUUGUUACGGAACUGGUUAUAAUCGUAGAUGAUAGUGUGCAUGUGUAAAUAUUUCUAUUUCUAUAUAAAAAAAAAUUGUAGAAUGUAAAUUAAUUUAUUUUUUAUUUUUUUAGUUAAUAUUGACGGCUUGUAGAGUUUCAAAUUUCAACUAUACAUAACUAAUUAUAGGUUCUAGGUACUAGUAUUAACAAGAUCAAUUAAAGUUGUGUGGUAAACCAAACUUGUGUACGAACUAGGGUUGCAUCUAAGAGAAGGACUAGCACUACCUAGAUGUGCCGAACCAUUUGAGAGGCAUCACAUUUAUGACUCAAGUUGGAGAAAUCAAAAAGUGAUUUUAUAUUCAUAAAGUUUUUUUUUAAACAGCAAAAGUAAUAAAACUAAUACUAGUAGUAUAAUAUAAGCAAGAAGUCGUGCUUAGAAAAAAAAUAUUACAAACAGUUAAUGGUUCGUCUUCGAAAGCUUAGCUCAGUUGAUAAAGAUAAUACAAGAUCUGAGGUUUAAACCUCGACCACCAAAAAUAAAAAUGGUUCCUAAGAAAAAUAACAUCCAACAUUAUCAGUGAUUUUAUAUUUGUAAAGUUGAUUUUAACAUGUUUCAAUUAUAUUGAUUAGUGGAUUGAGGACUCCUUCCCCUUCUUCGACCCCCAAUUCGUAUCUAAUUAAUUUUCAUAUUUUAAUUUAAAAUUAUAUUUUGUUUAACUCUUAUAUAUGAAUGCAGCGUAUGUUUGAUUUCAUUUUUGAGAAGGUUAAAAUUUAUUUUAAAGUUGUAGAAUUUAUUGCAAUAUAUCUAGAUCAAAUUUUACACUAAUGAAUAUAUUUGAACAUAAAUCAUUUUAUCUAGAUCAAUUUUACAUAAUAUUUUAAAUCAAAAUUAAUUUUUGUCGUAAAACCAUACACUAAUGUUUCUUUUCCUUUCUAUUGUUUAAUAUUAAUUGCUAUAUUUUCUUCUAAUUUUUUAAAUUUCUCUAUAAAAAUUAUCACCAUUAAUGAAGGACAAAUUUAAUAAAAAAAACAGAGAAUGAUUUUGUAAAAUAAUGAACGGCUAUUUUUUUUUCAUGCAAAAUUAGUUACAUUUUUAAUUUAUAUAAAAUUGUUAAAAUGAUUUAUAAUUUAAUACGAGAUAGAAUCUUCCACGUAUUGUUGUAUGCUUCUUAAUAUAUUUAAAUAACAUGUAACAAGAGUUGAGUUUUAUUUUAGCCUCUUAAAAAAAAAAAAUGUAACAUUUACCGUAGCUUCUUAUGACUGAUGUGUGUGUUCUUUUUGUUUGCCUAUGCUAACAGGGCCCCGUUUCCGAUGGGAGACCUCAAUAGGUCUCCUACCAUAGGAGACAUGCUCUUUUUUUUUUUUUUUUUUUUUUACAAAAAUGAAUGUGAGGAUAAAGGUCAACCAACCCUUAGAUCAAAAUGCUUACCGUACACCUUCAACAUUCAAUUGUUUUCUUUUAUUUUAAAUUAGUAGUGUAUUUUUCUUGUGUUGGUCUUAUAACUUGCAUUUGUAGGUCAAGCCAGUAUUAGUUACCUGUUGUUGCAGGUCAUCAGUAAUAUAUUAAUCACAUGUAACUUUAAAAAUAAUUUGAUGUAUAUAUGUAUGUGGUUUUUCCAAACUACAAAAUUAAUAGUUAACUUUAAUAUUUAACUAUUAAUUGUUUGUUUUUAAGAAAAAAAUAAUAUAAAUUUUUAAGUUUGGGGGGCAUUUUGCACAUAAGUGCAAAACUUCAGGGGGAUAUUUGCAAAACGUCAUGUUCACUAACAGAAAAAUUUGACGGAGGGGGUAAAUUGACUAACAUUGUGAAAUUUCAGGGGGGUAAUUGAAGUUUUGUUAAUUUCAGGGGGGUAAUUGAUGAAACUUACAAUUUCAGGGGGGAAAUUGACUAUUUACUCAUUACUUUAUUAAAGACAAAAAUUAAACAUUAUACUCCCUCCGUCCCUCAAUAAAUGACCUAGUUGACAAUAUACAUUAUUGACUUAAUAUACUUUGACCAUAUUUUUCUACUAAUUCACAAAGAUAAAUAAUAUUAUGUAAGAUGUUGUUGGAAUCGUCUCGAUGAAUAUUUUUAAAAUAUUAAGUUUUCAUAAUUUUUUUUAAUAGAAAAUUGAAGAUAUCAAAGAUAAAACAUAUGCAUUGGUACGUCUGUCGAAGUCAACUAGAUCAUUUAAUAUGGGACGGAGGGAGUAAUAUACAUUACUAGUGGGUCAACAUGUCUAAAGAUCUAUGCCAUUGAAAACUUCUUUUCAAAUCCAAUGGCUAAAAAGCAUUUUAGAAACCAAAAAAAAAAAAAAAUGUAGUCACCUACGGUAGGAGACCCAUUGAGGUCUCCUACCGUAGCCUAAGCCAUGCUAACAGGUGCCGUUUAAGGUAGGAGACGUGAAUAGGUCUCCUACGGUAGGAGACUAUAUAAAAGGAAGUUUUUUUUUUUUUCCUAUUAAAAUAAUUUGUCUUUGGAGGUGGUUGUACAUUGGUAACUUGUUGUUGGAGGUAAAUUCUAUUUAAAUUAUUCAUUUAAGUGCAGGGCAAUCUUGGAAUAUCCUCUUAAAUAAAAAAAUUAUUUUUCCACCAAAUCUGUAAUGAUUACAACAUCGUUGCUAUUCCUUUGAACGCCAUUUUUUUCUAUAAUGACUUCAUUUUUUUCUUUAGAGAAAUAUAACGACUUCAUAUAAUGAGGAAGUUGAAAAUAUAUUCACGUUUUUACUAUAGAUUGAAUAUUAUGAUUUUUUUUUUAAAUAAUUGAAUAUUAUUAAUCGAAUGGUCGAUAGACAACAAGAGUUAAAUAAGUUUUUAGUCCCGAUAAAUAUAUUGAAUAUUGUUUUUAGAUCUCAAAAAAAAAAAAUACAUGUUUUAGUCCCUAUAAAUUAAAAUUUGUUUAAUUUUACUUAAAGAUUUUAAUUUUUUAACACUUUUUUACAUAAAUGUUAAGAGCAUUAAAAGGAACUCUUUUAUAAAAAAUUAUAUUUUUUUCACAUGCAAUGAAUUAAAUUAGAAUAUUUCUAAACUCACUACCAAAAAAAGAAUAUUUAUAAACAACAAAGUUUUAAGAUUAAUCUUUGGAAGAUUAUCAUAGAACAAGUGUUAGUCUUUUGAAAUAUUUGUAUAGAUAAGAAGUUUGUCAUUGAAAGAUUCACAUAGAACGUGUCUUAGACUUUUGAAAAAUUCUUAUAGAUAAGAAGUUAGUCUUAAGAAGAUUAUCAUAAAACGUAUGUUAGUCUUUUAAAAGAUUCUCACAAAUAAGAAGUUAGUCUUUGAAAGAUUCUCAUAGAACGGAUGUUAGUCUUUUGAUAGAUUCUUAUAGAUAAGAAGUUAGUGUUUGGAAGAUUUUCAUAGAAUGAAUGUUAGUCUUUUGAAAGAUUCUUAUAGACAAUAAAUUAGUGUUUGGAAGACUCUCAUAGAACGGAUGUUAGUAUUUUCAAAGAUUCUUAUAGAUAAGAAAUUAGGGUUUCGAAAAAUUCUCGUAUAACAGAUAUUAGUCUUUUGAAAGAUUCUUAUAAAUAAGAAGUUAGUCUUUGAAAGUUUUUCAUAAAAUGUUUGUUAAUCUUUUGAAAUACUUUUAUAGAUAAGAAGUUAGUCUUAAGAAGAUUCUCAUAAAACGUAUGUUAGUCUUUUGAAAGAUUCUCAUAGAUAAGAAGUUAGUCUUUGAAAGAUUCUCAUAGAAUGUUUGUUAGUCUUUUGAAAGAUUCUUAUAGAUAAGAAACUAGUGUUUGGGAGAUUCUCAUAGAACGGAUGUUAACCUUUUGAAAGAUUCUUAUAAAUAAGAAGUUAGUAUUUGAAAGAUUCUCAUAUAACAUGUGUUACUCUUUUGAAAUAUUCUUAUAAUAAGAAGUUAGUCUUGAGAAGAUUCUUAUAGAACGUAUGUUAGUCUUUUGAAAUAUUCUUAUAGAUAAGAAAUUAGUGUUUUGAUGAUUCUCAUAGAACGGGAUGUUAGUCGUUUGAAAUAUUCUUCUAGAUAAGAAAUUAGUGUUUGGACGGCCAUAAAUAUUUAGAAUAUUAUAAAGAUCUCACAAAAAAAAAAAAAAAAUUAGAAUUUUUAAACAAAACAUGAAUUAAAUAUAAAUUUUUAACGGUCAUAAAUGUAAUAUCAUGUUUUGUUAAAAAUUCAUUUUUAAUUCAUAUUUUAACGACCAUAAAUGGGAAUAUUAUAAUAUUUAAUUCAUAAAUGUAAAAGAUUCGCAUAGAAAAGAAGUUAGUCUUAUUAAGAUUGUCAUAGAUAAAAGUCUUACUUCUUAAGAAGAUUCACAUGAAACGAAGGCUAGUAUUAGUAAGACUGUCAUAGAUAAGAAUAUUACUCCAUCCGUUCCUUUUUAAGUGUCGUUUGAAUGUGAAUUUAGCGUUCCUAUUUAACCGUCAUUUUGAUAUUUUAAGGGUACAAUUUAUCAAUUAUACCCUUUGUUGAUUACUCUUAUCUUUUUCAAAAAACUAAUUAAUGUUAUAAAUUUGAAAAACUAAAGUUUUUUUUUAAAACAAAGUUUGUUUCUUGUUAUUUUUAAAUCGACAACUGUUUGGUGUUAAUAUUUCAAAACGACACUUAAAAGAAACAUAGAGAGUAGUUCUUGGGGAAUUGUCAUACAACGGAAGCUAAUCUUGAUAAGAUUGUCAUGUGUAAGAAAAUUAUAAUUUUUAAAUAAAACAUGAAUUAAAUAUAAUUUUCGUUAAACAAGUUUCAAUUCAUCGCUUUUUUCUCUUCUUCUUCCCUUCUCAUAGACAUUUCCAACUUCAAAGUUUAUGGGUUUGACAAAUUCGUGAUUUAAAUAAACUGGGGACAUGUAAACAAUUGAGAAUUUCAUGAUUUAGGGAUUUAUGGGUUUCAGGAUGACUAUGUAGUGUGCUUUGAAUUCGGGUAUGGGGAUUUGUGAGAUGAAGAUAAGUAUUGAGUUUGUGGCAGAUUCCUUUUCUGGAUUUGGGGAUUCAUUAUGGGUUUAGGGAUGAUUUUCAGGGUGGAUAAUUGGUUUGUGGAUGAAUUUAUUGGUUUAUGGAAGAUGAAACUACUUGAAUUUCCCAAUUUCAACCCAUAAAAAGCUAUAUAGAAUUUGUGAAAAAUAAAUUUAAUCAUGGUUGGGAAUAAUAAAUUCAAUCUUUGCUUCCCAUUCAGUGUGGUUUAAAUUAGUGAAAAUAUUUGUGUUUGAUUACUAGAUAAUUUAGUGAUUUUCUUUCCUAAAAAUUGUUGUAACUGUGAGGUAUAUACUUUAAUGAUAAAAAUUAAACUGCCAUAAAUGAGAAUCCUGCAUUUUUCAAUAAUAAUUUGAUUCAAUGACUAAAUCACCCUUUGUAAAUGAUACCAUCAAUUCUAUAAUAUUUUCCAACAAUAUUAAUUAAUCAGGUCACCUAAGGCGUAAAUCACUACCAUCCAAUUAAAUAAACUACAUCCUAAGGUCCAUAUCCCUUUCGAAAAGGAAAAAAAAAAAAAAAACAAGCUCUCUCACGGUAAGAGACCUAUACAGGUCUCCUACCGUAGCCUAAGCCAUGCUAACAUGUCUUAUUAGCUUUACUCGGUGUCGACUUAGAAGCUAGAUCCUUGAUGUUUUGUAGAAGAAAAAAAAUCUAAGAUCUUUGAUGAUUAUGAAAAUUAAAAAUAGGAGGACCAAUUGAUUAAGUGAUCUGAUCAUACCGACACUUAUACUUACGGAAUCCAAAUCACCCUUGGAGACACAAAUUGCACAUUAAUUAUAGUGCACUGACAGUGUAAAGACAUAUUACACACUCAACCAAUAGCAUUUUGCCAUGUCAUUUUCUCAUUUCAUUUUUUUUUUAAAAAGUAUAGAUAGUGGCAUCCUUCUCACGUUGACGGUAAUCAACAUUGAACGAUACUGUUACACACCCUCCACACCGAGUGGUCGUUAUUGCUUCAUUAUUCGUUUGAAUCAUUUUUGCAAAUCUAAUUACAUUUUUAUGAAAACUAAUUGAUUGAAGGUGUGGUUGAUUUUCCACAUUGAAGAAUAGAGAAUCAAAAGAGUCAUUAGAGAUAUAUAUUGGCCAUUAAAAUGGAGAAAUAUUCAUUGUAGAACCCUCUUGGAUGGUGCAAUCGUCCCUUUUUUUAGGCACAAACAAUCAUCCCAUUAUAAUACAGAAGCAAUGUUAAUUUGGAUGCACAAGCAAUGCACUAAUACGGCUAAAAACAACGUCGGAAGAGAAGACGGUGAAAGAGUUUAAUAAAUAAUUAAUUUUAUUCAAUUAACCAAUUUUAAAUUAAAUCACGUGGCAGAAUGCUAUUGGUUGAGUGUGUAAUAUGCUUUUACACUGUCAGUGCACUAUAAUUAAACUCAUUAUAUUAUCAUUAGGACUAAAUAAAUAUACUAUUAAACAUGUUUUUUAUACUCAUUCCCUCUAACAUGUAUUUUAUAUUACUUAUUCUUUUAACAAGCUAAAUUAGAUUAUAUUAACAAACCAUCAGUGGCCUACCUCACACAAGGUGUGUUGAAGUAAGACACUCAAAGUUAAUUACAAGAUGCCAAUGCCCAAUGCCAUAUAACAACGACCCCCGAUAAAUGGGAGACCAAAACAACAAAUUACGAAGCUACACUCAUACAAAGGAGAGAGUAUCGCCACCAGUCAUGAUAGCUAAAGCAGAAGUAAACAAAUUUAUCUUUAACCACACAAAAGACAACAACUUUACUUUGUCUAAAAUCAUAUGUAACUUUGUUGUCGUAUUUUUAAAGAUUCGAUUAUUCUUUUGCUUCCAAAUAGUCCAAAUAAAAGCAAGUCAAAUCAGCCUAAAAAAAUGAAUGAGAUGAACGAGGUAGACCAACGUAGUGACCAAAUUGAAGAAAGUGAUCGCGCAACUCAAACGAGUCAACCGUAGUAAUGCCUAAUCACUUCCAGAUGAGAGACCAAAGGUUGUCGAAUAGGUUGCACCCCAAAAACAAAUGUACCGCCGCAACCUCCAACACAAACAAUAUCGUCGUCCUGAAGAACCCUCUGCCGCACGAGAUCAUCUCUAGUUGGUAACAUGUUGUGCAGAAGACGCCAAGCAAACAGAGAAACCUUUAACCAAACCUGUUUAUGCUCAAUGUUAUCAAUUGAAUCCCUGUCAAUAGAGCUUAUGCAGCUGUUAGGAAGUGAUACGUCCCACUGACAGAAUAGCCAUUAACACGGUCAAGAAGCAAACGCCACCUGUCAAGAGUAUCAAUCUGCAAAACAGUGUUAUGUAAUAGAAAAACACAUUCUCGAACAUUCUCCUCCUCCCACGCAAAAAGUCUCAUCCUCCACCUCCACGCCUCUCCCCC